CCGAGGGGGCGUCAUGGCGGGACCCAAGGCUCAGGCUCAGUCCCUUCAUCUGAGCAAACCAUCAUCACGUCAGGCCAGGGCCUAGCACGUGGCGCAAUCUGCGCGACUUACGACGAAGUCGAGGCGUCUCUUGGAAGCCAGCCGGCUUCCGAGCUGGCGUUUCUUGCCACAGGCGGCGGAAGGAGAUCAAUAGCAAAUAACUCAAGCCGGCGGGGCCUCCCACUCCAAAGCGGCGGGCCUCCCCUGCUUCGGGGACUAAUGAUGGGGGGAUAACCCCGGGGUAGGCUCAUCGAGCCUACUCCUUUGCCUUCUACCUUGAAGGAACAACAUGAAUCAUUCUAUGAAGCCCAAGUCCCCUUGGCCGGCUAGGAAGCACCUGCCGGUUGGGGACGAGACGACCAAAUCUCUUUGGCUGGCCAGGAAGCUCAUGUCGGCUAGAGGUGAGACGGCCACCUCCCUUUGGUCGCCUAUGCCACGCCGGACGGCUAGAGGCGAGGUGGUCGUGCCCAGGCCGGCUAGUUAAGCGACUAGCCGGCUAGGGAGCUCUUGUCACAUCAGGCCGUAGGUCAUGACGAGACCCUACGGUUAAAGGUGGCUACGCGUCAGCCAAGGUACUGGAUUGGAGCGCACGGCAGGUACAGUGUCGGCGGCCAUGCCGCUAACCUACUCCGGUCCGAUCCAUCAUCCUGCACAGUGUCGGCCCGUCAAACUCCCACUCCAUUACAACACUCGGCAUGGGAAUAGUGGAGAUGGCCGUACUCGAACCCCAUGACGAAUCUCGCAUGACGACACCAGACUUACUACACGUGUCCUGCGUGGGUCUUACGCGAGAGCCUUAGUGGCUAGCCGACGGGCCCCUCCAGCGACAAGACAAGACCCCCGUGGGCCCCCUGGCCAGCCGGGUCCCACUCAUGUACUUUUAUCCUUAUUGUAGGUCGGUGGGUUCAUCUAUAAAACCCCCUGACAUCCCUCCAUGUAGAGGAUCGGUUCAUCCUAUACACACACACACUCAUACGUAUACACACACACUCAUACAUGAGAGGUAGACGCGAGCCGGCUGCUCGUUCUUCCUCCUCCGCAAAACAGCUCCAGGAGCACAUUGUAGCCUCAUUGAUACAUCAUACACUCCGGCAGGAUUAGGGGUGUUAUCUCUACGGAGAGCCCUGAACCUGGGUACAUCGUGUGUUCCAUGCUCGUACCAACCUCGACCCCAGCGCCCACCGGUGUCAUUUUGGUUCCCACCAUCUUUAGCCUACCCAUGGCAUAUGUUGUGAGUAAACACCGACAUGAUGCACUCGAUGUUGUACAAGGGCGGCGACGCAGCACUGCGGAGGAAUUGUAUCGCAGACACGGAUGGACAGGGUAUGACAUGGCUCAUGCAUGGACGCUGCACGAGGUGGCGACUGUUGCAUCAGGGUUGGCGUAUGGCGAGUAUGUGCCACACGGCAUGUUAUAGAUUGCUAAUUUAGAAUCAAGAUCAAGAUGGAAUCUAUCAUCUGAUAUAGCGGCGAUCUUUUCAGAGGCGAACAGAAUUGAGAAGGUCAGAACUUGGUCGCGGCAUUGCGUACGGGAAACGGGCUCAGAUCCAUGGGGAUGCGUGUGGUACUCGGUCUCGCCAGCAAAGCAACGCAUAAGGAAAGGAAGGUUACGAUGCAAGGCUGUGUACGCGAAACUUUGUGGCGUGCGGCAUCAGGGCUCCUCAGAUGAUGUGCAGCACAAGGAAAGAAAAUCAGAAACAAAAUCAUGUUGGGGCACGAGCCACUGACAGUCCUGCUAUUGGUUUUGGUUAUUAAAAGACAUGUGCGUGCAUGAUUCUGGUCCAUUGGAGAUCAGCAAAACCGUAACAGGCUGUGACUCGUUUCUCCAUGUCUAAAAGGAGAAGACAAGGUCGGGAGAUCUAGCGGAAAUAAAAGGCUCGGGCGAUGGAGUAGCCAACACACACCAGAAAAAAGUGAAGCAGUUGGUUUCGAUGGAGAGCACAUUCAUCUGCGUGUGGGUGAGGCUUCACAGGAAAUCGUGAAGGGCGGACAGGGACGAUGCAAGUCAAGAUUCUUGGUAGAUCGUGUAUUGCAGCGUGGCUUCACACGAAGAAUUUGAGAUCGGUGAUCUUCUUCGUGAGGAUGUCAUAGAGGCAAGCAAGGGCGGUCAUACCGGUGGCAACAGGUCAGUUAGAUCGCGGCUCGGCAUGGCACUGGGGUUCACAAAAUUUGAGGUGCAGAAAUUUGAUGGCACGGGUAACUUCGGUCUAUGGUCGACAAGAGUCAAGGAUCUUCUGGCUUAGUAGGAAAUCUUGAAGGGUUUGCAGGAGACAAAACCGGCCAAGGUUGGCGACGCGAAGAUUCUCCUAAGGGAAAUUGGAACAUGUUGGCAUGUCGUUAUAUGUCCAAGUCAGUGACCAAUAAGCUGUAUUUGAAGCAAAAUUUCUAUGCGCUGAAGAUCCAGGAGGGGUCGGUGUUAGAUUACUUUGGAUCAGAUCGGUAGGAUAUUCACAGUAGUGCAGAGUAUGAGAUGGGGAUUUGAUACGUCUCAAACGUAUCUAUAAUUUUUUAUGGUUUCAUGUUGUUAUCUUGUCAUCUUUGGAUGUUUUAUGUACCUUUUAUAUCUUUUUUGGGACUAACUUAUUAAUUCAGUGCCAAGUGCCAGUUCCUGUUUUUUCUGUGUUUUUGGCUCUUUUCACAUCUGAUUUUGGAACGGAGUCCAAAUGGAAUAAAAUCCCCGAAAUGAUUUUUUCCCGAACGGAAGAAGAUCAGGGGGCCUGUGGGCCAAGACAGGAAGGCUCCAGGGAGCUCACAAGCCCCCACUCCGCCACCAGGGGGGAGGCGGCGGUGGCAGGGCUUGUGGCCUCCCUGAGCGCCCCCUGACCUAGAUCUUUGGCCUAUAUAUUCCCUAAAAUACAGCAAAAAAAUCAGGGCAGCCUCGAAAAUACUUUUCCGCCGCCGCAAGCUUCCGUUUCCGCGAGAUCUCAUCUGGAGACCCUUCCCGGCGCCCUGCCGGAGGGGACUUUGGAGUUGAAGGGCUUCUUCAUCAUCAUCAUCGCCCCUCCAAUGACUCGUGAGUAGUUCACUUCAGACCUACGGGUCCCUAGUUAGUAGCUAGAUGGCUUCUUCUCUCUCUUGGAUCUUCAAUACAAAGUUCUCCAUGAUCUUCAUGGAGAUCUAUCCGAUGUAAUCUUCUUUGGCGGUGUGUUUGUCGAGAUCCGAUGAAUUGUGGAUUUGUGAUCAGAUUAUCUAUGAUAUAUAUUUGAGUCUUUGCUGAUUUCUUAUAUGCAUGAUUUGAUAUCCUUGUAAGUCUCUCCGAGUCUUGGGUUUUGUUGGCCAACUAGAUCUAUGAUUCUUGCAAUGGGAGAAGUGCUUGGUUUUGGGUACUACCAUGUGGUGACCUUUCCCAGUGACAGUAGAGGCAGCAGGGCACACAUUAAGUAGUUUCCAUCAAGGGUAACAAGAUGGGCUCUGUCAUUGAUAUGAGAUUGUCCAUCUACAUCAUGUCAUCUUGCUUAAGGCGUUACUCUAUUCUUUUGGACUUAAUACACUAGAUGCAUGCUGGAUAGCGGUGGACGUGUGGAUUAAUAGUAGUAGAUGCAGACAGUAUCGGUCUACUUGUUUUGGACGUGAUGCCUAUAGAUAUAAUCAUUGCCAUAGAUAUCUUCAUGACUUUGCGCGGUUCUAUCAAUUGCUCGACAGUAAUUUGUUCACCCACCGUCUACUUGCUUUCAUGAGAGAAGCCACUAGUAAACACUACGCCCCCCGGGUCUAUUCACAUCUAUCGUUUCCACUCUCGCUUUUACUUUGCUUUGUUACUUUGUUGCUUUCAGUUCUCACUUGGCGAACAAUCUAUAAGGUAUUGACGACCCCUUCAUAGCGUUGGGAGCAAGCUUUUUGUGUUUGUGCGGGAUCUUGCGAUACUCCUCCACUGGAUCGAUACCAAGGUUCUCAAACUGAGGGAAAUACUUACCACCGAUGUGCUACAUCACCGUUUCCGCUUCGAGGGAACACCAACGCAAGACUCCAAGGCCACGGGGGAAAUCCUUUGCAUAUUUGCCUAGGAAGUCCCUUAAGGCGUAGCCGCAACAGAAGGAUUCCUGGUGCCGUCGACACGACUAUUCCUGGCGCCGUUGCUAGGGAAGCACAGCUGACAUCAGAAGUAUUUCUGGCGCUGUUAUCGGGGAGGAGAGAUCGAGAUCUAUCCAAGUAGGUCUCGCAAACUCAUCUCCUGCAUUUACUUUUUUGCCAGUUGCCUCUCGUUUACCUCUCCCCCACUUCACAUUUGCCGUUUUCAUUUGCCUUUCUCCUUCGCCGUUUUCUUUUGCCUUUGUCAUUUCCCUUUGCCGGUUUUCUUGCUUGCUUGUGUGCUUGUUUGUUUGUUGAAGUCAUCAUGGCUGAAAACACCAAACUUUGUGACUUCUCGAGCACUAAUAAUAAUGAUUUUAUUAGUAAUCCGAUUACUCCCGCCACUAGUGCGGAAUCGUAUGAAAUCAACGCAGCUUUGCUGAAUCUUGUUAUGAAAGAGCAAUUCUCUGGCCUUCCUAGUGAAGAUGCCGCAUCCCAUCUCAACACCUUCAUUGAGCUUUGUGAUAUGCAAAAGAAAAGAGAUGUGGAUAACGGCGUGAUUAAGUUGAAACUUUUUCCUUUCUCGUUGCAAGAUCGCGCAAAAACUUGGUUUUCUUCUUUGCCUAAAAAUAGUAUCGAUUCUUGGGAUAAGUGCAAAGAUGCUUACAUAUCCAAGUAUUUUCCGCCGGCUAAGAUCAUCUCCUUACGUAACAAUACCAUGAAUUUCAAGCAACUUGAUCAUGAACACGUUGCACAAUCUUGGGAGAGGAUGAAGCUUAUGAUUAGAAAUUGUCCCGCUCAUGGCUUGAGUUUGUGGAUGAUUAUACAAAUCUUUUACGUUGGCUUGAAUUUUGCUUCUCACAAUAUCUUGGACUCCACCUCAGGUGGAACGUUCAUGGAAAUCACGUUAGGAGACGCUACAAAACUCCUAGACAAUAUCAUGACCAACUACUCUCAGUGGCACACUGAAAGGUCACCUGCUAGCAAAAAGGUGCACUCUAUAGAAGAGAUUAACUCGCUUAGUGCUAAGAUGGAUGAGUUGAUGAAUAUGGUUGCUAGUAGAAAUGCUACUAUAUAUCCUAAUGACAUGCCACUAUAUUCUUUGAUUGAGAGUAGCAACGCUAGUUUGGACGUGAAUUUUGUUGGUAGGAACAAUUUUGGCAACAACAAUGCUUUUAGAGAAACUAUGUUCCUAGGCCUUUUCCUAGUAACUCCUCUAACAACUAUGGCAAUUCCUACAACAACACUUAUGGAAAUCACAACAAAUUACCCUCUAAUUUAGAGAGUAAUAUCAAAGAGUUCAUUAACUCUCAAAGGACUUUCAAUGCGUCCAUAGGGGGAAAACUACUCAAAAUAGACGAUUUGGCUAAGAGCGUUGAUAGGAUGUCUUGUGAUAUUGAUGCUUUGGAAGUUAGAUGCGCUCCUCCCAAGGUCAACUUGGACGAAACUUUGAAAGCUAUGCGUAUCUCGGGGGGGGGGGGGGUGAACGAGAGAAAAGAAAGAACCGCCCAAAUUCGCACUAGACAUGAAUGGUUUACAAGGGUGCGUUCUAGUGAUGCAAAUCACGAGGAUCUUAAGGUGCUUGGUGUUUCUCCUCUUGAAUCUUUGUUUUCGCGUGUCAAACCUAUUUAUGGAGGGGCUGGAUAUGAAUCCACUUUGGUUGAAAAACGCCCCAAUGAUUUGGAGUCCACCCAUCUUGAUGAUAAAGGUGUGGAGAGUGGAGUAGAAGAAGUCAAACUUUUGGGUAGUAAUGAAACUCCCACUUUGGAUUUCAAGGAAUUCAAUUAUGAUAAUUUCUCCUUGUUUGAAUGCAUUUCAUUGAUGCAAUCCAUUGCAAACUCUCCACACGCUUAUAGCCAAAGCAAAGCCUUGACCGCACAUAUCGUAGAUGCUAUGAUGAAAUCUCUUGAAGAUAAGCUCGAACUAGAAGUCUCUAUACCUAGAAAACUUCAUGAUGAGUGGGAACCUACUAUCAAAAUCAAGAUAAAAAACUAUGAGUGCAAUGCUUUGUGUGAUUUGGGUGCUAGUGUUUCCGCGAUUCCAAAGUCUUUAUGUGAUAUUCUUGGUUUUCAUGAGAUUGAAGAGUGUUCUCUUAAUUUGCAUCUUGCGGAUUUUACUGUCAAGAAACCCAUGGGAAGGAUCGAUGAUGUUCUUAUUGUUGCAAAUAAGAACUAUGUACCCGUGGAUUUCAUUGUACUUGACAUAGAUUGCAAUCCUUCAUGUCCCAUUAUUCUUGGUAGACCUUUCCUAAGGACUAUUGGUGCUAUCAUCGAUAUGAAGGAAGUGAAUAUUAGAUUUGAAUUUCCUUUGAAGAAGGGCAUGGAGCACUUUCCUAGAAAGAAAAUAAGAUUGCCUUAUGAAUCUAUGAUGAGGGCUACUUAUGGUUUGAGCACCAAAGAUGACUAUACGUGAUUUCAUCACAUUUUGCCUAGCUAAGGGCGUUAAACAAAAGCGCUUGUUGGGAGGCAACCCAACGAAUCUAUCCUUUUUCUUUCUGUUUUGUGUUUUCCACACUUUCAUAAAUCUGUUACGAUUGUGUUUUUUGUGUUUGUUUUUGCGUUUGUGCCAAGCAAAACCGUUAUGAUUAGUCUUGGGGAUGAUCGUUUGGUCAUGCUGGAAAAGACAGAAACUUUCUUCUCACAAAAAGAAUUUUCAUUUUUUUCUGUAAGAGAUUUUGAGUUGACUCUUUUUUCUGCUGAUUUCUAUGCAAAUUCUUCAGACUGUCGUAAGUUUUCAGAACUUUUGAAGUACCAGAGGUAUACGAAAUAUACAGAUUGCUACAGACUUGUCUGCUGUUAACGGAUUCUGUUUUUGUUGUGUUGGUUGCUUAUUUUGAUGAAACUAUGGAUAGUAUCGGGGGGGGGGGGUAUUAGCCAUGGAAGAUUGAAAAUACAGUAAACCAACAUCAGCAUAAGUAGAAUUUAAGUUUUCUAUAGUACCUAAGGAAGUGGUGGUUUGCUUUCUCAUACUAAUGUUAUCGCGAGUUUCUGUUUAAGUUUCGUGUUGUGAAGUUUUCAAGUUUUCGGUGAAGUUCUUAUGGACAAAGAGAUAAAGAGUGGCAAGAGAUCAAGCUUGGGUAUGCCCAAGGCCCCCCAAGAGAUUAAAGGAUGCCGUAAAAGCCUAAGCUUGGGGAUGCCCCGGGAAGGCAUCCCCUCUCUCGUCUUCAAUCCAUCGGUAACGUUAAUUGGGGCUAUAUUUUUAUUCACCACAUGUUAUGUGUUUUUGCUUGGAGCGUCUUGUAUCAUAGGAGUCUUUUAUUUUUGUUGUGUCACAAUCAUCCUUUCUGCACACCUAGAGAGAGAGACAUGCACUCACCGUGAUUUUGUCGAGCUUCACUUAUAUCUUUUGGUAGACAAUUCAGCUCACAUGUGUUUCACUUAUAUCUUUUGAGCUAGAUACUUUUGCUCUAUGUGCUUCACUUAUAUCUUUUAGAGUGCAGAGGUGCGUGGCUUGGUAGUUGAUCUAUGCUUUGAAAGUAGUCCCAAAAGUGGUAGUUUUCCAAAUGGAUACGAAAACUUCCAUGUUCAUGUGCAUUGCAUAGUUAGAGAAGUUUGAUUCAUCUCAAUUAGUUUUGAGUUGUGGUUAUGGUAAUAUUGAAGUCAUUCUAGUAAGGUGUUGUGGAUCUAGAAAUACUUGUGUUGAAGUUAUUGAUUCCCGUAGCAUGCACGUAUGGUGAACCGCUAUGUGAUGAAAUCUGAGCAUGAUUAGUCUAUUGAUUGUCAUCCUUUGCGUGGCGGUCGGGAUCGCGCGAUGGUUUAUACCUACCAACCCUUCCCCUAGGAGUAUGCGUUGAAUGCUCUGUUUCGAUUACUAAUAAAACUUUUGCAACAAUUAUAUGAGUUCUUCAUGACUAAUGUUGAGUCCAUGGUUUAGAUGCACUUUCACCUUCCACCAUCACUAUCUACUUAGUGUCGUGCAACUUUCGAUGGUGCACAAAACCCACCAUUAGCCUCCCUCAAAACAGCCACCAUACCUACCUAUUAUCGCUUUUUCAAAGUCAUUCCGAGAUAUAUUGCCAUGCAACUACCACCAUGACAUGUGCCACCACAUCUACAUUUCCAUUGCAUGGUCGUAAGAUAGCUAGCAUGAUAUUUCCAUUAAUGUCUAUGCCAUGCUAGAUCAUUGCCACGGUACACUACCGAAGGCAUUCCAUAUAGAGUCAUAGUUGCUCUAAGUUUUGAGUUGAAAGUGUGAUGAUCAUCCUUAAUGGAGCAUUGUCCCAUGUGAGUAAAUAAAAGAGGCCAAAGAAGCCCACCAAAAAAAGAGGCCAAAGAGCCCACCAAAAAAAAUAUGAGAGAAAAAGAGAGAAGGGACAAUGCUACCACUAUUUCCACACUUGUGCAUAAUAAGCACCAUGAUCUUCAUGAUUGAGAGUCUCUCGUUCUGUCACCACCAUAUAGCUAGUAGGAAAUUUUCAUUAUAUAAAUUGGCUUGCAUAUUCCAAUGAUAGGCUUCCUCAAAAUUGCCUUAGGUCUUCGUGAGCAAGCAAGUUGGAUGCACAUCCACUAGUUUUCUUUAAGAGCUUUCACAUACUCGUAGCUCUAGUGCAUCAUUUGCAUGGCAAUCCCUACUCAUUCACAUUGAUAUCUAUUGAUGAGCAUCUCCACAGCUCAUUGAUAUGCCUAUUUAAUGUGACUAUAUUCUCCUUUUUUUGUCUUGCAACCUCCACUACACUCCACACCAUCUAUAGUGCUAUAACCAUGGCUCACGCUCAUGUAUUGCGUGAGAGUUGAAAAGGUUUGAGGAAGUAGAGGUGUGACACAAUCACAUGGCCAAUACCGGGGUUGUGCAUGAUUUAAAUUCGUUGUGCAAUGAUGAUAGAGCAUAGCCAGACUAUAUGCUUUCUUAGGGAUAACUUUCUUUUGGCCUUGUUAUUUUGAAAGUUCAUGAUUACCUUGCUAGUUUGCUUGAAUUAUUAUUGUUUCCACGUCAAUAGCAAACUAUUGAAUUACCUUGCUAGUUUUGAAUCUAAUGGAUCUGAACAUUCACGUGACAUAAGAGGAGUUACAAAGGACAUCUAUGCUAGGUAGCAUGAAAGCAUCAAAAAUUCAUUCUUUAUCACUUCCCUACUCGAGGACGAGCAGGAGUUAAGCUUGGGGAUGCUUGAUACGUCUCAAACGUAUCUAUAAUUUUUGAUGGUUUCAUGUUGUUAUCUUUUCAUCUUUCGAUGUUUUAUGUACCUUUUAUAUCUUUUGGACUAAUUUAUUAAUUCAGUGCCAAGUGCCAAUUCCUAUUUUUUCUGUGUUUUUGGCUCUUUUCAGAUCUGAUUUUGGAACGGAGUCUAAACGGAAUAAAAUCCCCGAAAAGAUUUUUUCCCAAACGGAAGAAGAUCAGGGGGCCUGUGGGCCAAGCCAGGAGGGCUCCAGGGAGCCCACAAGCCCCCACUCUGCCACCAGGGCGGGAGGCGGCGGUGGCAGGGCUUGUGGCCUCCCUAAGCACCCCCUGACCUAGAUCUUUGGCCUAUAUAUUCCCUAAAAUACAGCAAAAAAUCAGGGGAGCCUCGAAAAUACUUUUCCGCCCCCGCAAGCUUCCGUUUCCAUGAGAUCUCAUCUGGAGACCCUUCUCGGCGCCCUGCCGGAGGGGACUUUGGAGUUGGAGGGCUUCUUCAUCAUCAUCAUCGCCCCUCCAAUGACUCGUGAGUAGUUCACUUCAGACCUACGGGUCCGUAGUUAGUAGCCAGAUGGCUUCUUCUCUCUCUUGGAUCUUCAAUACAAAGUUCUCUAUGAUCUUCAUGGAGAUCUAUCCGAUGUAUUCUUCUUUGGCAGUGUGUUUGUCGAGAUCCGAUGAAUUGUGGAUUUGUGAUCAGAUUAUCUAUGAUAUAUAUUUGAGUCUUUGCUAAUUUCUUAUAUGCAUGAUUUGAUAUCCUUGGAAGUCUCUCCGAGUCUUGGGUUUUGUUUGGCCAACUAGAUCUAUGAUUCUUGCAAUGGGAGAAGUGCUUGGUUUUGGGUUCUACCAUGUGGUGAACUUUCCCAGUAACAGUAGGGGCAGCAAGGCACACAUUAAGUAGUUGCCAUCAAGGGUAACAAGAUGGGCUCUAUCGUUGAUAUGAGAUUGUCCAUCUACAUCGUGUCAUCUCGCUUAAGGCGUUACUCUGUUUUUUUGGACUUAAUACACUAGAUGCAUGCUGGAUAACGGUCGACGUGUGGAGUAAUAGUAGUAGAUGCAGACAGUAUCGGUCUACUUGUUUUGGACGUGAUGCCUAUAGAUAUAAUCAUUGCCAUAGAUAUCGUCACGACUUUGCGCGGUUCUAUCAAUUGCUCAAUAGUAAUUUGUUCACCCAUCGUCUACUUGCUUUCAUGAGAGAAGCCACUAGUAAUCACUACGCCCCCCGGGUCUAUUCACAUCUAUCAUUUCCACUCUCGCUUUUACUUUGCUUUGUUACUUUGUUGCUUUCAGUUCUCACUUGGCGAACAAUCUAUAAGUGAUUGACAACCCCUUCAUAGCGUUGGGAGAAAGCUUUUUGUGUUUGUGCAGGAUCUUGUGAUACUCCUCCACUGGAUCGAUACCAAGGUUCUCAAACUGAGGGAAAUACUUACCACCGAUGUGCUACAUCACCCUUUCCCCUUCGAGGGAACACCAACGCAAGGCUCCAAGGCCACGGGGGAAAUCCUUUGCAUAUUUGCCUAGGAAGUCCCUUAAGGCGUAGCCGCAGCAGAAGGAUUCCUGGUGCCGUCGACACGACUAUUCCUGGCGCCGUUGCUAGGGAAGCACAGCUGACAUCAGGAUGACCUUCUCCCUGGCUCGAGGAGCGCUCCCCAGUGGACAUGGCAGAGGGGCGGCGGUGAUGACGGCAGAGAGCGGUGUGGUGGCGACGGUGCUUCCUGUGAGCACUACUCUAACCCUAGAUCGGAAGGGGAUGUCGGUGGGGAGACUGGCGGCACGGUGAACCUCGUACUGCAUGCCCCAGCCCCCACCUCUUUAUAUAGCGCAGGUCACGGGGGCCCACCAAGUUUGGUUGGGCGCCCCCGAUGAGGGCGCGAUGCAAGGGUCCGGUGGACCGUUGGGCCCACACAAAAGAGAGAUCAUCCUAACAUUCUCCCCCUUGAUCUCAACUUUUCUUUUAACUUUAUAUUGUGAUAAUUUCAUAACCGAUUAGUACAUAGAGCAUGUUUCAUCGUCAAAGCUCAAUUGUCGAUAGAUUCAGACAGCUACAACAUACCUCUCUAUUUUGAAACGAAUUCUGUUACUUUUGGGCCUCUCAUGAUCCAGGAAUCAUAGGCUUUCCCUUAAACCCAUGUCAUCUAAGUGUUCCUUGAACACAUUGGGUGGUAAGCCUUUCGUUAGCGGAUCCACAAGCAUAUCCUUUGUCCUUAUAUGCUCGAGACUUAUAGUGUGAUCUUGGAUUUUAUCUUUCACAACAUAAUACUUUAUGCCUAUUACCUUGGUAGCAUUACUCGACUUGUUGUUGUGAGCAUAGAAUAUUGCGGGCUGGUUGUCACAGUACAUGUUUAGUGCUUUGUGAAUACAAUCUACCACUUUCAAGUCGGGUAUAAAUUUCUUUAACCAUAUCACCUGCCCGGUGGCUUCAAAACAUGCUAUAAACUUUGCUUGCAUCAUGGACGAUGCGACUAUGGACUACUUGGAGCUUUUCCACGAAAUAGCUCCUCCAGCGAGAGGGAACAUCCUGACAUGGACUUUCUAUCAUCUCUGUCUCCCGCAAUAUAUGAGUCUGAAUACCCUUUUAUCUCUAGGGAAUUAGAUCUUCUAUAUGUUAGCAUGAUGUCCUUUGUGCCUUGCGCUUAAUGCAAUGCUUUAUUUACCAUAUUCGAGUGCUCUAGGCAUGGAUUCUCUUGAUAUCUACCGAGUACCCCGGUAAUAAAAGCUAAGUCAGGGUGAGUGCACACUUGUGCAUACUAUAACUUCCAACAGCCGAAUAUAUGGCACUGCUUUCAUUUGAUCGAGCUCGUACAGGUUCUUGGGACAUUGGAAUUUCCCAAAAUCGUCGCCCUUGACUAUAGGAGCAGGUGUGGCCUUACUCGCAUGCAUAUUAUACUUUUUUAGAACCUUUUCUAAAUAUGCUUUUUACGAUAGUCCUAAGACUCCAUUUUUCCUAUCCCGGUGAUUUUCAAUGCCCAAAACUUAUGAAGCAUCACCAAGAUCUUUCAUAUCAAAGUUUGAGGAUAAAAACUUCUUUGUUUCUUGUAGUAGACUAACACCAUUGCUAGGAAGCAAGAUAUCAUCCACAUACAAGAUUAGGAAAAUGGAUUUCCCAUUUUUGAACUUUGCAUAAACGCAGUUAUCCUCAACAAUUUCUUUAAAUCAAAAACUUUUAGUUGUAUCAUUAAACUUCAAAUACCACUGUGUGGAGGCUUGCCUUAGUCCAUAAAUGGAUUUCUUCAAGCGGCAUCCCAUAUCUUCCUUGCCUUCCAUGAUAAAACCCUUGGGUUGUUUCAUGUAGACAUUUUCUUCUAAAUCUCCAUUUAUAAAUGUCAUCUUUACAUCCAUUUGAUGCAACUCUAAAUCAAAAUGUGCAACUAAUGCCAUUAUGAUUCUGAAGGAAUCCUUACAUGAGACUGGGGAAAAAGACUCAUUGUAAUCUAUCCCUUCUCUUUGUGUAAAUCCCUUUGCCACAAGUCAUGCUUUUUUACUUUUCUAUAUUCCCAUUAGAGUCAUACUUAGUUUUGUAGACCCAUUUAUAGCCUACUGUUUUGGCUCCUUAAGAAUAAUUUCUAAGUCCCAAACAUCGUUGGAAGUCAUCGAGUUCAUCUCGUCUUUCAUUGCCUCCAGCCACUUCAAUGAGUGAGGGCUUAUCAUAGCUUCUUCAUAUGAAGCGGGAUCACCUUCCAUAUGAACCAAUUCUGUAUUAUAAACUUUAUGAUCGGUAGAAACAGCUGAUCUUCUUGUUCUGUUAGACCUUCUAAGUGCCUCAUUCUUUCGCAAUUUUGUGCCUUAACUUCUGGCACAUCUUCUUAAAUUGGCUGCUGCACCUCUCUUUCAUGUUCAACAAUAGGCUCAGUCGGAUCUUGAAGGACAGGUGUCGGGUCUUCUCCCAUAGUUGUCAUGGUCGGAGUCACAAAAGGUAGUGAGAAAAAUGGCUCUAGAAUCAUCGAAUUAGGUUCAUGCACCCUCUUCUCCUCAAGAUCAAUUUUCCAAGCUACCAUGCUCCCCCUCAUCAUUUCGUCCUCUAAGAAGACUGCAUGUCUUGUUUCUACAAACUUUGCAUAUCUUUCUGGACAGUAGAAACAAAAACCCUUUGAUCUAUCAGGAUAGCCAAUGAAGCAGCAACUUAUUGUUUUGGAAUCUAACUUUGCAAUGUUUGUAUUAAACACUUCGCCCUCAGCUGGGCACCCCCACACCCUGAAGUGUUGCAGGGAUGGCAAUUUUACUGUCCACGGCUCCUACGGUAUUUUGGGCACCGACUUGCUUGCUACUCUCUUGAGAAUGUGAAUGGCGGUUUUAAGCGCCUCCAUCCAUAAUCCCAAUGGACAGUUGGAGUAACUCAUCAUGUUGCAUACCAUAUCCAUAAGUGUAUGGUUACGCCUUUCAGCUACUCCAUUUUCCUCAGGCUCGCCCGAUGUUGAAUAAUGGGCUACUAUGCCAGUCUCCUACAAGAACUUUGCAAAAGGUCUAGGGACUUAGCCAUAUGGAGUGUGCUGAUCGUAGUAUCCCCCCCCCCCACACACGAUCAGAUCUCACUAUCUUUAUUCUUUUGUGAAGCUAUUUUAUAACUUCAACUUUGAAUAUUUUAAAUUUAUCCAAUGCUUCAUUUCUUUCUUUUAUUGGAUAAAUAUAACCAAAUCGUGAGUAAUCAUCUCUGAAUGUUAUGAACGAGUCAUAGCCAUCCACACUUUUCAUAGAAAAUGGUCCACAAAUGUCAGUGUGAAUUAUUUCGAGUGUUCAUGUGCUUCGGUUUGCAUACUUUUUGAUUUGUUUUACAUACUUUCCUUUAACACAAUCAAUGCAUUGUUCUAAAUAUGCAAACUCUAGUGGAUGAAUAAUCUCACUUUUAAUUAGUCUUUCUAUUCCCCCCUUCGAAAUAUGGCCCAAGCAACAAUGCCAUAAUUUCGAUGAGUCAUGAGUUCUCUUUCUUUUCUUUUGUUCUUUGUUCGACGAGGAAACUUGUUCAUUCACAUUACACACAUAAUGCAAUUUUCACGAAGUGAUAAUAAAUAAAGCUCAUUGUGAAGUAAAGCAUCACCCACAUAAGCAUUAUUAAAUCAUAUGGCACACUUGCCUGUCCAAAAUAACAUUCAUAAUGUUCUUUAUCCAAACAUGAAACACUAAUUAAAUUUCAGUGACAUGAAGGAACAUAUAAAACGUUUGUAAGCAAAAUCUUGAAUUCGUCAGUGAAAUCCAAGGGGAUGUCGCUGACAUCUUCAACUUCUGCUUGGACACCAUUUGCGACUUCAAUGCUUCUUUCGCUUCUUCGCCUAGUCCUCUUCGAAUGGAAUCCAUGUAACGAAUUUGCAACAUGAACAGUUGCAGCUGAGUCAAUCCACCAAGUAGAUUUCGAAAACUAUGUAUACAAGUAUUUAUUUACAAAGGAAACAAUGUUGUUACCUCUCUUUGCCAUUAUGGACUUUAACCAAUCGGGGCAAUCAUUCUUGUAAUGCCCAGCCUUUUUGCAGUGGAGACAAGUGUCUUUGUCCACUAGAAAAGACUUCUGCUGAUGGUGAUACUGCAUGGAAGAUUUUCCAUGUGGCUUUGAAGGGGAACCAUUGCUAUUGUGAUUGAAGUUCCUUUUGUUUUCCUUCACAUAGUUCAGAGAGCCACCAUCAGAGGUUUCAAGUCUCUCCUCUUCUUGAACGCACAUGGCUAUGGUAUUUUCUAUGCCCCAUUUCUCAGGCGACAUGUUGUAGUUGACAAUGAAGGUCUCAAACUCUUUCGGCAAUGAAGCCAUAAACAUGUGGACAAGGAGCACAGGUUUGAGCUCCAAGUCCAAAUCCAUGGGUUUUAGCUUAGCUGCCAUGUUGCUCAUCCUCAGGAUGUGCUCUCUUAUGCCAUGUCCACCGCUUGUGUACUUUUCUGUCACCAGUUGUUUUAGCAAUUGAGUGGCAUAAUUAAAUCAUUGAAGAACGAGUGAACUGGCUCUUUAUCUUUUCGAGGAACUCCCUUGUGGAAGCACACUCUAGAAUUGAGCCCGCAAUAGCAUUCUCAAUCGUCUUCUUUACAAAGGCCAUACACGUUUUGUCGACGGUGUGCCACUUUUGUUUGUCGAGGGUGUAUGACAUCUCCAAUGGAGCAUAAUCCCUCCUCUUUCAUCCCAUGCAGCAUCAUCAUUAGUUGUCUCUCUGACUGGCUCUGUACGUGUGACCAGUUGUGGAGUAUCCACAACCUAGUCCACCUCAGCACAAACAAAAUCCAUAUCGACUUUCUUUCUCCGUUGAGAGUAGUUGUCACCUCUGAGGGUCGGAAUCUCCUUGAUGCAGCUCAUCAUGUAAAACCCUCCUGAAAAACCACAAUGAAAUGAGAUCGUGGCAACAGUUGCAUGCAUUAAUCCGAUAUUGGUCAAAAUUAAACCAUACAACUGUUUAUGCAAAUGAAACUUUAUUAUCGUUGGAUAUAAUUAGAAAUAAAUGCACCUUUUACAACAAUAAUAAAUCCUUAUUAUGUUAUUAACAACGCUGGUCAUAUAAUAACAUAACCAUAUUUAUUUCAAUAAUCACUUUAAUAUGCUAUUAAUAUUUAACUAUCAUUAAAACUUUAUUUUCUCUUAAAAAGCAAUAUUAUUUAUUUGCAGCGGAAAAAACAUGAAUAAAAUUCAUGAAACUUUAUACUUUCCCCAUCUUUUAUUUCUGACACUUUUUAUUUUUCUAGGCAAAUUUAUGGAACUUUAUACUUUUUCAGAGUCUUUAAUUUGAAUAGAAAAACUAUGUUAAAAUCUGCACACAAAAAGAACUGGACAAUACAGAAACUUCUAAAACAAUUGGUCACGGCUGUCUGGACCGAAACCGACCCAUUCGCCGAGCGCCCGAGCCCUCUCCCACGUGGCUCACUGCCUAGGGUGCCGAUUGGCCAGUCUGGGCCAAAAGCUGACCCAGCCAAGCUCCCACCGGCCUGGUGCCUGGCUAGGGUUUGCGUCGCUGCCCUCGGAUCGAAUCGGACAGUCGAGCGUGCAUCUCGCCCAAGCAAAAACGAAGUGCUGCGGGGCGGGGGAGCCCUAGCUCAUUUCCUUCCCCCACGCGUCGCUUGUACCUCUCUGCCUUCGCUCCGCGGCGGCGACUAUUCCAACGGCCGGCGACGGCGUCAGACUCCCGCGCCGCGCUUUUCUCCCCUACCCUCUUUCUCAUUUCUGCCCUUUCUUUCUGCGCUCGUGCGCCCUCGCAUCGAGGUAGACAACGACGAUGGCAGCGGAGCACGCGGCGGCGCGAUGAGGCAGUGCCCCCUCUGUUCCCCUUGCUGGUGUGCGCGCGCUCCCAAAGGAGAGCACGCCAUGGUCAAGCUGCAUAGCGGUGGUGCCUCUUUGCCCCUCUCGGGGUGAGUUCUUCUUCCCGAGUCUCGGCUUGCCGAUGCACUACGUGAUCGAAAGGAGCGACACGCCCGGUGCGGCGACACUCUUUGCCGGCUUGCCCAAGGCCUUCUUCCGGUGAGCUUUGUCUGGUUGUUGUUCUUUGCCCUGUUCUAGGGAUCUUCGUGGGGAGGGGAUUCAUUUUCCUUUCUUUUGCUACUACUGAAAUUCAUUACCGAAUGGCUAUGUUACCAUUGUAAGAUUACUUUGGAUCGGAUCGGUAGGAUAUUCACGGUAGUGCAGAUUAUGAGAUGGGGAUUACCUUCUCCCUGGCUCGAGGAGCUCGUCCCAGUGGCCAUUGUAGAGGGGCAGCGGUGAUGACGGCACAGAGCAGUGUGGCGGCGGUGGUGCUUCCCCUGAGCACUACGCUAACCCUAGAUUGGAAGGGGAUGUCGGUGGGGAGACUGGCGGCACGGUGAACCUUGUACUACGUGCCCCGACCCCCACCUUUUUAUAUAGCGUAGGUCACAGGGGCCCACCAACUAUAGUUUGGUUGGGCGCCCCCGAUCAGGGCACGAUGCAAGGGGUCCGAUGGGCCGUUGGGCCCACACGGAAGAGAGAUCAUCCUAACAGUUGGAUCUUGUGGGGCGUGUGAAUGCUUUUCAUCAGUUGGUCAUAGAUCUAGCGUGGGUGGAUGUGAAUAUUAAGGACGAGGAUAAGGCACUAGUUCUUCUUGUUUCAUUGCCACUGUCCUAUGAGCAUUUGGCCAUUACGUUGACACAUGGAGAGGCAACCAUCAAUAAUGAGGAAGUCACGACAAUGUUGCUUGGACAUGAGUUGAGGAACUAAAAGAAUGCUGCUGAAAGGGAUACUACUCAAAAUUUUGGGGUUGGCAGGUAAAGGUAAUCAUCUUAGGAAGGGAUAAGAGAUGGAGAACAAAAAGAAGAAAAAGGUGCAGUGCUACAGGUGCAAGGACUGGGGACAUAUAAAGAGGGAAUGCCCAGAACUGAAGGGUGAGGCUAGUGCUAACCUGUCUACUCAUGGUGGUGACUCACACAACAGUAGUAAUACCCUCUUAGUUUCAGACAGACGGUCAACUAGAACUCAAGCAUGGAUGUUAGAUUUAGCUUGCUCUUUUCAUGUGACGCCCAACAGGGAGUGGUUCUAUUCGUACAAGUCUGGUGAGUUUGGUUUCGCCUAUGUGGGUGAUAAAACUCGUUAUUGUGUUGUCGGAAUAGGUGACAUCAAAAUCGAGAUGUUUGACGGAGUUGAGCGGAUGCUUCGGGGAGUCAGGUAUGUGCCUGGGCUAACACUACAAGAAAUAUGCUAACUUGCGACCUUCAAUAUUGGUCACCGAAUGGUCGUUGAUUUCCAUUUGCGACCUUUUUAUGACCAAAAAUAGGUGGUCAAAAGUUGAGGGUCUCUAAUGAACUAUAACGACCUUACUGCAGGAAUCAUCGUAGAAUUUUACGACCAAACAAAAGGUCGUUGGUUCUACGACCAAUCAUGUUGGUCGUUGGUUGUUUGCCCAGGCCAUGUCAGAUCCAACGUGGCAAGCUGACAUGGCAAAGUUGUGACGAAAUGAAAAGGUCAUUGAUUAGAAUCAUCCCGGUCCAAUUUGGUGUCUAUAUUGGCCGAGCCCAAUAAUUCAGCCCAUUUAAUAUAUUAUUUUCUGCUAUUUUUUGUUAGCAACGUGGGCCUGGCCCAACUUUCGGCCUUUUAAUUUCUUGGCCAUAGCCUUUUUGUACCAACGUUUUUAGUUUUUUUUUAUAAAAUGGGUCCACUAGUCAAAAAGGUCCCACUUAUCAGGUUCUGAUAAGUGAGUCACAGCUAUUAGGCUCAGAUUCUACAUAUUUCAAUUUGACAGUAAAAUAAUACCAAUAUUUGAAUGGGCAAGCAGAAAACACACAUAAUACUUCAAAUAACAAUAGCCUGAUUCAAUACAAGCUCUACAAAUAACACAUAAUACAAGAUGUAACAUAUACAAUAUUUUACAAGCUCUACAAGUGUAAUACCAGUUACAAGUUGUACAAGUGUUUUCUUCUUCAGCAUGGUGCUCCUUCGAGAUAGCGAUAAAAUGUUCUACUCAUGGGCACCCAUAGUCAGGAUGGGAUAAUAGAAUGACAACAUGUCUUAAACGGUCGCCCUGUUACAUGAACCGGUUGAGAAGAAUUAGAAAAACUGGAGCCAAUAUAUUAUGAUCAUUCCAUUCAAAAAAGGAGUAAAGGACAAUUAUUUAUAGAAUGAUAAACAUAUUUCAGCUAGUACCGUGCUUUUUAGCUGAGCUAGUUAAAAUGAGAUAGUACUAAUGCAGAAGAAACUUUUGCAUGUCUAUACAAGCAAACAUUACAAAAGUGCAAUUCUUAUUUUCAUCUCACUCCAAAAAAGUGGCUCUAUGAAAAAACCAAACAUACAACACAAAAACAAACUCAAAUUGAUCUGAUAGCUCAUGUUUAAAUUUUAAUGGUAGCUCAUGUUGAAACAAUAAUCAGCUAAUGGCCUUUACAGCAAGAUAUACACAAGGAAUAGACUGGAUGAAGCUCAUGGAUCCUAAAUAUACAAGUUAUUAUACAAGAUGCAGGUUGUCACUAAAAAUUGCAGAGCGUACUAUCAGAGAACCCUUUCAUUUUGAAAAGAAUUUAUGCUCCAGAAUUUGGCAGCUUUUUAUAUGUCAAAGAACAAACAUUUUUAGGGAGAACCAAUAUUGAGAACUGCAUUCUAUCAUCAUGAUUGCAAAUACAUGGAUCAAUCCAAAAGGGGGGGGGGCAAUAAUGUAUACACAACAUCAAACAAUAGACAAUGAUGGAUCCAAUAGCUUGUAAAGCAAGAAUUGGCAACAAAAUUUAUGUACAUAAAUAGUACUCCCUCUAUUCGUAAAUAUAAGACCUUUUAGAAAUUUUAAUAUAUACUACAUACAGAGUAAAAUGAGUGAAUGUACACUCUAAAAUAUAUCUAUAUACAUCCGUAUGUAGUACAUAUUAAAAUUUCUAAAAGGUCUUAUAUUUAGGAACGGAGGGAGUAUGACUAACACUAAGCAGUAUGUGUACAUGGAGUUUUUGGUAUAUAGUAUACUAACUUGUGCAACUCUAACUAAAUUGAACGUAAAAAUAAAAAGACCUGCAAGAACAAGUUCAAUCAGAAUCCAUGCAUGUAAAAUUUUGAACACCAACAUAACAAAUCUAGCAAACGAGACCAUGAUCAUCGUGCAUUAGGAAUUAUGAUUCUUGCAAAAUUGAUGAUUUGCGUCAGGUUGGUGUUGAGUAGUUGUGUCCACACCGUUGCUCGCAACAAUACCUGCUAACAUAAGAAAAAUUGGUGAUCUUGUCAAUAUCAUUCCAAGUCUAUGAAAUUAAAAAAAUGUGGUAGGAAAUAAGUGAGAUAUGACUACUAUGGUGCUCAAGUAGUUAAUAUAAAGCAGUCAUGCAGUAUGUAAUGUAGAUGUGAACUGUUAUUCUAAAUUUCUAGUGCAAAACAUAUAAGAGUGGCCAAGGGUGCGGUGAUCUGAAUCUAUGGGUAGAUAAUCACAUACAGUGCAAUGUGUACUCCAUAAGUUCAUAUGACACAAAUGGAUCCACACAUGUUAUCUGUUUUGAAUUGUGUAAGUGCAUCUAGUGCCCCUUAGUGAUUUUGGUGGUUUGAAGACUUAUAGGUUAAGUAUCUAAUGUGUUUGUGAGUGUACACAGGAUCUAUAAGUCAUUGAGGAGUUUGAGAUAUUUGAAGAAUAUCGACCCCUAAAAAUAUAUGUCUUUAGUUGAAGAAAUUGGUCUGAAGCUGAAGAAAUGAAUCGCGAGGAAUCUGCGAUGAAAUUGAUAUUCCUCAUGAAGAUACUGAUAUUGAGAAGUCCGGUGGUUCCUGAAGAAAAUCAUUCUGAAGAAUUUGAAGCAUGAAGAUUUACACUUUCUGUUUUACUUUCUUCGCAUUUGAGUAAUAGGAACACCGUACUGUUAAAGGGGGUCGAAGUUACACUAUGGAAUGAAUUUCCUCAUGAUGCUCAACCCAAGCCUAAUCCUACCAAAAGCCUCAAGUGAGGAAUAUGAGUGACAUGAGGACUCUCAUAGUUGAGGGUUCCGACCAUUUUGAUAACCACGCCAAGUCACUGGUCUUAUCCACUCCAACGGUCAUAUUAUUUAAGGGCAUUAGUGUCAAAUCAUGUCGGGAUGCUCCCAGGCUAUAAAUAGCCAGACCCCACAACCACUAGUUGGUUGGCUGCUCCGUUAGAAACUGACACUUGUCAUAAGAGCAACCCAAAUUCCUCAGAGUCUUCAAGAGUAAUUCAUCAGUGAGGAAAUACACCAUCCACCGAAACCACAAACCAAACCUAGUGAUUGAGCAUCACUGAAGAAGUUGUUCCUGUGUGGGACUGAGGCCUUUUACCUUUGAGGACUGUGCAUCCUCCAAACGGUUAGGCAUCAUGGUCUAGAGCGUUCCAGCAGUUAAUUGUGGAUCGUCGAGUGACCAAGUUUGUGAGGGUUUGGAAGUCUGCCCUGAAGACUUACCACGAGUGCUGGGCGAGGACUGUGUGUCCUUAGCUCAAAGAGAAUACGGUAGGGACUAUGUGUCCUAGGACUGGGUGUCCUUUGGUUUCAAUACCAAGUCGCUCCAAACCAGAUGUACGACUUUCACAACAGUUGGAACUGGUUCAUCAACGACUGUCUUCACUGAGAAACGGGUUCUAAUUCCUCAACACUUUAUUUUCCCUGUAUUAUGUGUUGAUGACUUUCACUAUAACUGUUUGAAGAAUUUGCUCAAGACUUUCUCCGAAUUUCCUCAACCCCAAAUUCUUCACAUUAGUUAAUCAUCAUCUGAAUUCUGCGUGCCUGCUCACUGUGCAAUCUUUUUUCACAUUCUUCACUCUGAAAUACUGCAGUUGUAAACGUUUGCACGUCUGAUCCUUUACUGUUUCCGCUGUAAGCUAGUCAUCAGUGAGGAAUUUCCUCAAAAGGAAUUUCCUCAGUUAUGAAAUUCUAAAAAUCUCCUAUUCCCCCCCCCCCCCCUCUAGUCGAUAUAACGCAUUUUCAAAUUGACAGCACAAACCUUGUAGAAAUAUAUAACAAUAGUGUAGAAUCAUCAAGCAUGAGAUAAUAGAUACUUUUUGAAUUACUGAGAAAAUCCUUAGUUUCUCUGAUUGAAGCAUGCGAUUGGGACUAGGGAGUAAAACUGGGUAUGUCGUAAUUCUUGUUUCCUCUUAUUCUGACGAUGCUUUAGAGCCAGCUGAGCAACCAGAAUAACUGCAACCAGGUUUGCUUUAGCACCAACUUCCAGACCUGUGCAUUAAAUUGUUGGAGAUCAAUUUGUCAAAGAACUAGAAUUCCUACUUUACUAGCAUAUUUUGUUAAACAAAGGCCUACAAAGGGGACGCGGUUGUUCUGCUCGCGAGCACAUGUGAGAGCUUUAUCCUAACGGCUUGGCAGGGCGUCAGGAUGUACAACAUUGAAUUACUGAGCCAAUUGGUUGAUCAUUUUUAAAACACGGAAAAGGGUAAUACGGUAUGCAGUUGCGUUCUACGCCAUGCCGAUGACGGAGCCCGCAGAUGGCAACGUGACGAGAGAUUCCUAGAGCCAUGGCUCGGGAUGGUUUUCUACUCCUGAUCCAUAGCCCCGGAAGUGGGAUUCCGGUAGGCGGCGGUGCGCAGGGUAGUAAAUGACAAAUCAGAUUCAAGGCGAGCAGUCGCAAGAUUCAAACGGCGCCAUAAACUGCAAGACGGCUGCUCAGCAUUGGAGAUGAAGUUUACCUGCGUGAUUUUACUUUGAGUGAUAAAUUGUUGUGUAUCUUAAUGUAAAGGGUAGAUAAAAAAAUGUGUUGUGCUGAUAACCGGCAAGUGUGGACUUUGUAUUCAGGUUUAAGGCUGGAUGAACUGUAUCUGUUAGACAUGGUGCCUGUAGUAUAAUAGUGGCUGGUGUUUCGUGAUUGAUAGUAUCAUCCAGCAAGUGCGCCCACCUUAUUAUCAGUAUGGAAAUAUGGAUUUGAUUAUUAUGUGAGGGAUUGAUUCCUAAUGAAUACCGAUUUCAAUUUUGGGCUCCAUCCUCAUAAAAGGGUUUGAAUGGACUGUCGGCGUCCAGGACAGAAUCUGUAUGCGAACGGCUCAUGUCGUCGGACGCCUGAGCCGAUAGUCUGCUAAACAAACGCCAUCGGUUCUGUUACGUGUCUGAUGUGGGCCAUCAGAUUUGGAAAAUGGGGUAAUACAAUAGUUAUACCUAGGCCUAUACGUGCUGGGAUGGCCAUCUCGAAGCAAACGGACGGGAAUGAUAACGAUCGCACCUGCACUCGUCCAUAGAACAGCACUUUCGCUACAAAGUGAAUCAGGUUUUUGGUUCAUUUGUAGUUCAAUGCUUAUUCAGGCUGCUAAAUGAAGUCCAUGUGCGCGUCCUGCUUUGAUACUAAACAAUGAUUAUUCAUGACAAGAACACACACAAAGUGCAGAUGAUUACAAAAUAUCAAACUUCAGGGUGUAGCAUUCAUUCACAUUUUAACAGUGUAGCAUUCUGAUGACCCACAAGUAUAUAGGGGAUCAAUCGUAGUCUUUUCGAUAAGUAAGAGUGUCGAACCCAACGAGGAUCAUAAGGAUCUGACAAGUGGUUUUUACUAAGGUAAAAUCUGCACGCACUGAAAUUGUCGGUAACAAGUGAUUGUGUAGUGAGAUGAUUCGUACAAAGCAACAAGUAACAAAAGUAGCAAUGGUGCAGCAAAGUGGUCCAAUCCUUUUUGUAGAAAGGGACAAGCCUCGACAAAGUCUUAUAGGAGGAAAAAUGCUCACGAGGACACACGGGAAUUUCUGUUAUGCUAGUUUUCAUCAUGUUCAUAUGAUUCGCGUUCGUUACUUUGAUAGUUUGAUAUCUGGGUGGACCAGCGCUUGGGUACUGCCCUUACUUGGACAAGAAUCCAACUUAUGAUUAACCCCUCUCGCAAGCAUCCGCAACUACGAAAUAAGAAUUAAGACAAAGUCUAACCAUACAUUAAACUAGUGGAUCCAAAUCAGCCCCUUACGAAGCAACGCAUAAACUAGGGUUUAAACUUCUAUCAAUCUAGCAACCCAUCAUCUACUCACUACUUCCCAAUGGCUUCCUCUAGGCCCAAAUAAUGGUGAAGUGUUAUGUAGUCGACGUUCACAUAACACCACUAGAGGAAAAACAACAUACAACAUAUCAAAUUACCGAACGAAUACCAAAUUCACAUGACUACUAUUAGCAUGACUUAUCCCAUGUCCUUNUCUAGCAACCCAUCAUCUACUCACUACUUCCCAAUGGCUUCCUCUAGGCCCAAAUAAUGGUGAAGUGUUAUGUAGUCGACGUUCACAUAACACCACUAGAGGAAAAACAACAUACAACAUAUCAAAUUACCGAACGAAUACCAAAUUCACAUGACUACUAUUAGCAUGACUUAUCCCAUGUCCUUAGGAACCAAAGUAACUACUCACAAAGUAUAAUCAUAUUCAUGACUAGAGAGGUAAUGAGUAGCAUCAAGGAUCUGAACAGAAACUCUUCCACCAAAUAAUCCAACUAGCAUCAACUACAAAGAGUAAUCAACACUACUACCAACCUUGCAAGUACCAAUCAGAGUCGCGAGACAGAGAUUGGUUACAAGUGAUGAACUAGGGUUUGGAGAUGAGAUGGUGUUGAUGAAGAUGUUGAUGGUGACGAGUCCCCUCCGAUGAGAGGAGGGUUAGUGAUGACGAUGGCGAAGAGUUCCCCCUCCGGGAGGGAAGCUUCCCCGGCAGGAUCAUCCUGCCGGAGCUCUAGAUUGGUUCUGCUCAAGUUCCGCCUCGUGGUGGCGGCGAAUCCACGAAAAAGCUCCUCCCUGAUAUAUUUUUCUGGACGAAACCCUGCAUAUAGCAGAAGAGGGGGGGCUAGUGGGCCAGCAAGCUGCCCACGAUCCCUCAUGGCGCGGCCUGGGGGGUGGUCGCGCCGUGCAGGCUUGUGGCCACCUGCACGCGCUUGUGGCACUACUUCUGCGCAGUAUUUGUUGAGGAACGUAGCAUAAAUUCAAAAUUUUCCUACGCAUAUUCAGAUCUUCCUAUGGAGAUAACAGCAACGAGAGAGGGGUAAGAGCAUCUUCAUACCUUUGAAGAUCGCUAAGCGGAAGCGUUGCUAGAACGCGGUUGAUGGAGUCGUACUCGCAGCGAUUCCGAUCUAGUGCCGAACUACGGCACCUCCGCGUUCAACACACAUGCAGCCCGGUGACGUCUCCCGCACCUUGAUCCAACAAGGAGGAGGGAGAGGUUGGGGAAGAACUCCAGCAGCACGACGGCGUGGUGUCGAUGGAGAGACGAGGUCUCCCGACAGGGCUUCGCCAAGCACCGGCAGAGAGGAGUAGAAAGAAGGGCAGGGCUGCGCCGAGGGAGAGGGAGAAGUCUAUCUCCCAAUGGUCAAAAGUGCCCGGUAUAUAUAGGGGAAGGGAGGGGCUGCGCCCCCUUUAGGGUUUCCCCCUCCUAGGGGGGGGCGGCAGCCCUAGAUGGGGGCUGGUGCGGCGGCCAAGGGGGGAGGAGGGGUGUGGCGCACCCCUGGUGGGCCUUAGGCCCACCUGGCUUAGGGCUUGCCCCCUUUUCUCUCCCCUGCGCAUUGGACUGAGUGGGGAGACGCACCAGCCCACCUAGGGGCUGGUUCCCUCCCCCACUUGGCCCAUAUUACCUCCCGGGGCCAUUGCCCCCCUUCGGUGGACCCCCGGGGGGCCACCUCCGGUGGUCCCGGUACGUUACCGGUGAUGCCCGAAACACUUCCGGUGUCCGAAACCAUCCGUCCUAUAUAUCAAUCUUUACCUCCGGACCAUUCCGGAGCUCCUCGUGACGUCCGGGAUCUCAUCCGGGACUCCAAACAACUUUCGGUAACCUCGUAUAACAAUUCCCUAUAACCCUAGCGUCACCGAACCUUAAGUGUGUAGACCCUACGGGUUCGGGAGACAGGCAAACAUGACCGAGACACCUCUCUGGCCAAUAACCAUCAGCGGGGUCUGGAUACCCAUGGUGGCUCCCACUUGCUCCACGAUGGUCUCAUCGGAUGAACCACGAUGUCAAGGAUUCAAUCAAUCCCGUAUACAAUUCCCUUUGUCUCUCGGUAUAGACCUUGCCCGAGAUUCCAUCGUCGGUAUACCAAUACCUUGUUCAAUCUCGUUACCGGUAAGUCUCUUUACUCGUUCCGUAGCACGUCAUCGUGUGACUAACUUCUUAGUCUCAUUGAGCUCAUGAUGAUGUUCUACCGAGUGGGCCCAGAGAUACCUCUCCGUCACACGGAGUGACAAAUCCCGAUCUUGAUUCGCACCACCCCAACAGACACUUUCAGAGGUACGUGUAGUGCACCUUUAUAGUCACCCAGUUACGUUGUGAUGUUUGAUACACCCAAAGCACUCCUACGGUAUCCAGGAGUUGCACAAUCUCACGGUCGAAGGAAAAGACACUUGACAUUAGAAAAGCUUUAGCAUACGAACAACACGAUCUAGUGCUAUGCUUAGGAUUGGGUCUUGUCCAUCACAUCAUUCUCCCAAUGACGUGAUCCCGUUAUCAAUGACAUCUAAUGCCCAUGAUCAGGAAACCAUGAUCAUCUAUUGACUAACAAGCUAGCCAACUAGAGGCUUGCUAGGGACACAUUGUGAUCUAUUUAUUCACACAUGUAUUACUGUUUCCUGUUAAUACGAUUAUAGCAUGAACAAUAGACGAUUAUCAUGAACAAGGAAAUAUGAUAAUAACCAUUUUAUUAUUGCCUCUAGGGCAUAUUUCCAACAGUCUCCCACUUGCAUUAGAGUCAAUAAUCUAGUUACAUUGUGAUGUAUCGAACACCCAUAGCAUUAUGGUGUUGAUCAUGUUUUGCUCGUGGAAGAGGUUUAGUCAACGGGUCUGCAAUAUUCAGAUCCGUGUGUACUUUACAAAUAUCUAUCACUCCACUCUGGACAUGGUCCUGGAUUGAGUUGUAGCAGCGUUUGAUGUGUUUUGUCUUCCGGUGAAACCUGGGCUCCUUGGCUAUGGCAAUGGCCCAGUGUUAUCACAGAAGAGUGUCAUUGGACCCGACGCGCUUGGAACCACUCCAAGGUCGGUGAUGAGCUCCUUCAUCCAAAUUCCUUCAUGAGCCACUUCUGAAGCAGCUAUGUACUCCGCUUCACAUGUAGAUGCUGCCACGACUUCUUGCUUGCUGCUGCACCAGCUCACUGCCCCACCAUUCAACACAUAUACGUAUCCGGUCUGUGACCUUAGAGUCAUCCGGAUCUGUGUCGAAGCUAGCGUCGACGUAACCCUUUACGACGAGCUCUUCGUCACCUCCAUAAACGAGAAACAUUUCCUUAGUCCUUUUCAGGUACUUAAGGAUAUUCUUGACCGCUGUCCAGUGUUCCAUACCGGGAUCACUUUGGUACCUCCCUACCAAACUUAUGGUAAGGUUUAUAUCAGGUCUGGUACACAACAUGUCAUACAUUAGAGAGCCCACGGCUGAAGCGUAGGGGACAGAACUCAUCUUCUCUCUAUCUACUGCCGUGGUCGGUGACUGAGUCUUACUCAAUCUCAUACCUUGCAAAACUCGCAAGAACCCUUUCUUUGAGUUUUCCAUAUUGAACUUCUUCAAUAUCUUGUCAAGGUAUGUACUUUGCUAAAAACCUAUGAGGCGUCUUGAUCUAUCUCUAUAGAUCUUGAUGCCUAAUAUGUAUGCAGCUUCUCCAAGGUCCUUCAUUGAAAAACUCUUGUUCAAAUAGGACUUUAUGCUCUCCAACAUUUUUGUAUUGUUCCCCAUCAAUAAUAUGUCAUCCACAUACAGUAUGAGGAAAGCUACAGAGCUCCCACUCACUUUCUUGUACAGACGGGCUUCUCUGUAAACCUGUAUGAACCCAAACGCUUUAAUCACCUCAUUAAAGCGAAUGUUCCAACUCCGAGAUGCUUGCACCAGCCCAUAAAUGGAGCGCUGGAGCUUGCACACUUUGUUAGCACCCUUAGGGUCGACAAAACCUUCUGGUUGCAUCAUAUACAACUCUUCCUUAAGGUUCCCGUUAAGGAACGCUGUUUUGACGUCCAUUUGCCAAAUUUCAUAAUCAUAAAAGGCGGCAAUUGCUAACAUGAUUCGGACUGAUUACAGCUUUCCUACGAGAGAGAAAGUCUCACCUCCUUGAAUUUGUCGAAAACCCUUUGCGACAAGUCGAGCUUUGUAAACGGUUACAUUACCGUUUGCAUCAGUCUUCUUCUUGAAGAUCCAUUUAUUUUCUAUGGCUCGCCGGUCAUCGGGCAAGUCCACCAAAGUCCAUACUGUGUUCUCAUACAUGGAUUCUAUCUCGGAUUUCAUAGCUUCAAGCCAUUUGUUGGAAUCCGGGCCCGCCAUCGCUUCUUCAUAGUUUGAAGGUUCACCGUUGUCUAACAACAUGAUUUCCAUCACAGGGUUGCCAUACCACUCUGGUGCGGAGCAUGCCCUUGUGGACCUUCGUGGUUUAGUAGUAACUUGAUCCAAAGCUUCAUGAUCAUCAUCAUUAACUUCCUCUUCAGUUGGUGUAGGCGCCACAGGAACAACUUCCCGCGCUGUGCUACUAUCCUGUUCGAGAGGGGGUGUAAUUACCUCAUCAAGUUCUACCUUCCUCCCACUUACUUCUUUCGAGAGAAACUCUUUCUCUAGAAAGGAUCCGUUCUUGGCAACAAAGGUUUUACCUUCGGAUCUAAGAUAGAAGGUAUACCCAAUAGUUUCCUUAGGGUAUCCUAUGAAUACGCAUUUCUCCGCUUUGGGUUCGAGCUUUUCUGGUUGAAGUUUCUUCACAUAAGCAUCGCAGCCCCAAACUUUAAGAAACGACAACUUAGAUUUCUUGCCAAACCAUAGUUCAUACGGUGUCGUCUCAACGGAUUUAGACGGUGCCCUAUUUAAAGUGAAUGAUGCAGUUUCUAAUGCGUAUCCCCAAAAUGAUAGGGGUAAGUCAGUAAGAGACAUCAUAGAUCGUACCAUAUGUAAUAAAGUGUGAUUACGAUGUUCAGACACUCCGUUGCGUUGCGGUGUGCCAGGCGGCGUCAAUUGUGAAACGGUUCCACACUUCCUUAGGUGUGUGCCAAACUCGUGACUCAAAUAUUCUCCUCCACGAUCAGAUCGUAGACACUUGAUUUUUCUGUCACGUUGAUUCUCGACCUCACUCUGAAAUUCCUUGAACUUUUCAAAUGUCUCAGAUUUGUGCUUCAUCAAGUAGAUAUACCCAUACCUACUCAAAUCAUCGGUGAGAGUAAGAACAUAACGAUAGCCACCGCGAGCUUCAACGUUCAUCGGACCACACACAUCAGUAUGUAUUAUUUCCAAUAAGUCGGUUGCUCUCUCCAUUAGUCCUGAGAAUGGAGUCUUAGUCAUCUUGCCCAUGAGGCACGGUUCGCAUGUGUCAAACGAUUCAAAAUCAAGAGACUCUAAUAGUCCAUCAGUAUGGAGCUUCUUCAUGCGCUUAACGCCGAUAUGACCAAGGCGGCAGUGCCACAAGUAUGUGGGACUAUCAUUAUCAACUUUACAUCUUUUGGUACUCACACUAUGAAUAUGUGUAACAUCACGAUCGAGAUUCAUCAAGAAUAAACCAUUCACCAGCGGAGCAUGACCAUAAAACAUAUCACUCAUAUAAAUAGAACAACCAUUAUUCUCUGACUUAAAUGAGUAGCCGUCUCGCAUUAAGCAAGACCCUGAUACAAUGUUCAUGCUUAAAUCUGGUACUAAAUAACAAUUAUUAAGGUUUAAAACUAAUCCCGACGGUAGAUGUAGAGGUAGCGUGCCGACGGCGACCACAUCGACCUUUGAACCAUUCCCGACGUGCAUCGUCACCUCGUCCUUGGCCAGUCUCCGCUUAUUCCCCAGUUCCUGCUUUGAGUUGCAAAUGUGAGCAACAACACCGGUAUCAAAUACCCAGGAGCUACUACAAGCGCUGGUAAGGUACACAUCAAUAACAUGUAUAUCACAUAUACCUUUAACGUUGUCGGCCUUUUUGUCCGCUAUGUAUUUGGGGCAGUUUCGCUUCCAGUGACCUUUUCCCUUGCAAUAGAAGCACUCAGUCUCAGGCUUGGGUCCAUUCUUUUUCUUCUUCUCGGCAUCUGGCUUACCGGGCGCGGCAACAGCUUUGCCGUCUUUCUUGAAGUUCUUCUUACCCUUGCCUUUCUUGAAACUAGUGGUCUUGUUGACCAUCAACACUUGAUGCUCUUUCUUGAUUUCUACUUCUGCAGACUUGAGCAUCGAGUACAACUUGGGAAUGGUCUUCUCCAUCCCUUGCAUGUUGUAGUUAAGCACAAAGCCUUUGUAGCUUGGUGGGAGAGACUGGAGGAUUCUGUCAAUUAUAGCAUCAUCCAAAAGUUCGACUCCAAGUGAAGUCAGACGACCGUGUAACCCAGACAUGUUGAGUAUGUGCUCACUGACAGAACUGUUCUCCUCCAUCUUACAGCUAAAGAACUUGUCGGAGACUUCAUAUCUCUCAACACAGGCAUGAGCUUGAAAAACUAGCUUCAGCUCCUGGAACAUCUCAUAUGCCCCGUGUUGCUCAAAACGCCUUUAGAGCCCCGUUUCUAAACUGUAUAACAUGCCACACCUAACCAGAGAGUAGUCAUCACUCCGCGUUUGCCAGACGUUCAGAAUGUCCUGGGCUACUGCGGGAGCGGGAGGGUCACCUAGUGGCGCAUCAAGGACAUAAGCCUUUUUAGCUGCUUCGAGGAUGAGCUUCAAGUUGCGAACCCAGUCCGCAUAGUUGCUACCAUCAUCUUUCAGCUUGUUUUUCUCUAGGAAUGCGUUGAAAUUGAGGUUGACGUUGGCCAUCUACAAUAUUUAUAAAGACAACUUUUAGACUAAGUUCAUGACAAUUAAGUUCAUUUAAUCAAAUUAAGUAUGAACUCCCACUUAAAUCGACAUCCCUCUAGUCAUCUAAGUGAUACAUGAUCCAUGUUGACUAACCCGUGUCCGAUCAUCACGUGAGACGGACUAGUCACCAUGGUGAGCAACUUCAUGCUGAUUGUAUUCAACCAUACGACUCAUGUUAGACCUUUCGGUCUCUUAUAUUAGAGGUCAUGUCUAUACAUGCUAAGCUCGUCGAGUCAACCUAGGUGUUUUGCGUGUGUAAAUCUGGCUUACACCCCUUGUAUGCGAACGUUAGAAUCUAUCACACCCGAUCAUCACGUGGUGCUUCGAGACAACGAACCUUCGCAACGGUGCACACUUAGGGGAAUACGUUCUCGAAAUUUUAAGAGGGGUCAUCUUAUUAUUCUACCGUCGUUCUAAGUAAUAAGAUGGAAAACAUGAUAAACAUCACAAUGCAAUCAUAUAGUGACAUGAUAUGGCCAUUAUCAUCUUUGCUCUUUCGAUCUCCAUCUUCAGGCAUCGCAUGAUCAUCAUCGUCACCGGCGUGACACCAUGAUCUCCAUCAUCGUGUCUCCGUGAAGUCGUCACGCCAACUACUACUAUCACUACUACUAUAGCUAACCGUUAGCAAUGAAGUAAAAGUAGUAAGCACAUGGCGUUGCAUCUCAUACAAUAAAUUAAGACAACUCCUAUGGCUCCUGCCGGUUGUCAUACUCAUCGACAUGCAAGUCGUCAAACCUGUUACAAUAACAUGAUCAUCUCAUACAUCAUACAUGCAACAUCACAACUUUGGCCAUAUCACAUCACAUGUCAAACCCUGCAAAAACAAGUUAGACGUCCUCUAAUUGUUGUUGCAAGUUUUACGUGGCUGAUUUGGGUUUCUAGCAAGAACGCCUUCUUACCUACGUGACAACCACAACGAUGAUAUGCCAAAGCUAUUUACCCUUCAUAAGGACCCUUUUCAUCAAAUCCAAUCCGACUAGAGUAGGAGAGACACACACCCUCUAGCCACCUUUAUGCACGGUGUGCAUGCCUGUCGGUGGAACCAGUCUCACGUAAGCGUACGUGUAAAGUCGGUCCGGGCCGCUUCAUCCCACAAUACCGCCGGAAAAGAUAAGACUAGUAGCGGCAAGCAAAUUGACAAAUCAUCGCCCACAACUUUUGUGUUAUACUCGUGCAUAGAAUCUACGCAUAGAAAACCUGGCUCGGAUGCCACUGUUGGGGAACGUAGCAUAAAUUCAAAAUUUUCCUACGCAUAUUCAGAUCUUCCUAUGGAGAGACCAGCAACGAGAGAGGGGUAAGAGCAUCUUCAUACCUUUGAAGAUCGCUAAGCGGAAGCGUUGCUAGAACGCGGUUGAUGGAGUCGUACUCGCAGCGAUUCCGAUCUAGUGCCGAACUACGGCACCUCCGCGUUCAACACACGUGCAGCCCGGUGACGUCUCCCGCACCUUGAUCCAGCAAGGAGGAGGGAGAGGUUGGGAAAGAACUCCAGAAGUACGACGGUGUGGUGUCGAUGGAGAGACGAGGUCUCCCGGCAGGGCUUCGCCAAGCACCGACAGAGAGGAGGAGAAAGAAGGGCAGGGCUGCGCCGAGGGAGAGGGAGAAGUCUAUCUCCCAAUGGCCAAAAGUGCCCGGUAUAUAUAGGAGAAGGGAGGGGCUGCGCCCCCUUGAGAGUUUCCCCCUCCUAGGGGGGCGGCAGCCCUAGAUGAGGGCUGGUGCGGCGGCCAAGGGGGGAGGAGGGUUGUGGCGCACGCCUGGUGGGCCUUAGGCCCAUCUGGCUUAGGGUUUGCCCCCCCCUUUUCUCUCCCCUGCGCAUUGGGCUGAGUGGGGAGGCACACCAGCCCACCUAGGGGCUGGUUCCCUCCCCCACUUGGCCCAUCUUACCUCCCGGGGUCGUUGCCCACCUUCGGUGGACCCUCGGGGCCACCUCCGGUGGUCCCGGUACGUUACCGGUGAUGCCCGAAACACUUCCGGUGUCCGAAACCAUCCGUCCUAUAUAUCAAUCUUUACCUUCGGACCAUUCCGGAGCUCCUCGUGACGUCUGGGAUCUCAUCCGAGACUUCGAACAACUUUCGGUAACCUCGUAUAACAAUUCCCUAUAACCCUAGCGUCACCGAACCUUAAGUGUGUAGACCCUACGGGUUCGGGAGACAGGCAGACAUGACCGAGACACCUCUCUGGCCAAUAACCAUCAGCGGGGUCUGGAUACCCAUGGUGGCUCCCACUUUCUCCACGAUGAUCUCAUCGGAUGAACCACGAUGUCAAGGAUUCAAUCAAUCCCGUAUACAAUUCCCUUUGUCCGUCGGUAUAGAACUUGCCCGAGAUUCGAUCGUCGGUAUACCAAUACCUUGUUCAAUCUCGUUACCGGUAAGUCUCUUUACUCGUUCUGUAGCACGUCAUCGUGUGACUAACACCUUAGUCACAUUGAGCUCAUGCUGAUGUUCUACCGAGUGGGCCCAGAGAUACCUCUCCAUCACACCGAGUGACAAAUCCCGAUCUUGAUUCGUACCAACCCAACAGACACUUUCAGAGGUACCCGUAGUGCACCUUUAUAGUCACCCAGUUACGUUGUGCCGUUUGAUACACCAAAAGCACUCCUACGGUAUCCGGGAGUUGCACAAUCUCACGGUCGAAGGAAAAGACACUUGACAUUAGAAAAGCUUUAGCAUACGAACAACACGAUCUAGUGCUAUGCUUAGGAUUGGGUCUUGUCCAUCACAUCAUUCUCCCAAUGACGUGAUCCCGUUAUCAAUGACAUCUAAUGCCCAUGAUCAGGAAACCAUGAUCAUAUAUUGACUAACGAGCUAGCCAACUAGAGGCUUGCUAGGGACACAUUGUGAUCUAUUUAUUCACACAUGUAUUACUGUUUCGUGUUAAUACAAUUAUAGCAUGAAAAAUAGACGAUUAUCAUGAACAAGGAAAUAUGAUAAUAACCAUUUUAUUAUUGCCUCUAGGACAUAUUUCCAACAGUAUUUUUUAUAAAUCAGGAAAAAAUCCUCGUUGAUUUUUACAUCGUUUGGAGUUGCGCAGAAUAGGUAUCUCAAACUUGCUCCACUUUCAGGCCAGAAUUCCAGCUGCCAGCAUUCUCCCUCUUCAUGUAAACCUUGCAAAAUAAGAGAGAAAAGGCAUAAGAAUUGUACCGUGAAGUGAAAUAACAGCCUAAGAAGCGAUAAAUAUCAACGUGAAAACAUGAUGCAAAAUGGACGCAUCAACUCCCCCAAGCUUAGACCUCGCUUGUCCUCAAGCGAAAGCCUAGCUCAAUAAAUAUGUCCACAUGUUUAGGGAGAGAGGUGUCGACAAAACAAGAUACGAACAUGCAUGCAUCAUGAUCAUGAUCAGAACAACAAUACCAACAUAUAAUCUGUCAUGCUAAAGUGAUAAUUCCUUCACAAAGUAAAGCUCGGAUCAAGAACCUUAGCGAGAAGUAACAACCGAUAGCCUUUAGUCAUUGAAGCAAUUGCAAUUUAUCACACCAUCACAAAGAGUCAAAUAAGAUCUUGUGAAGCAAAUGCACAUACUCAAUCAUUCUUUCGUUCUCUACAAUUGCUACAACUCACAUGGUACUCAUGAGAUCAAAGUUCCAGCUGGACACAGAGAAAGAUAGGGGCUUACAGUUUUGCCUCCCAACUGCUUACCUCAAGGGUAAUCUCAACAGUAAUAAUUUAUGAAUACUUACCUCCAAGUUGACAUAUGAAUAUAGACCUUUCCCAAGCAUAUGAUGUUAGCCAAGAUAAAGGUGAAAUAGGGAAUUGGUGAAGAUCACCAUGACUCUUUCAAGGACGAAAAGUAAAGGUACAAGAUAGGCCCUUUGCGGAGGGAAGCAGAGGUUGUCAUGCACUUUUGAGGUUUGGAUGCGUGUCCUCUUAGUGCGGAGGAACAUCACUUUAUAUUGCCUCAUGUGAUAAAGAACUUUAUUAUGCAGUCUGUCGCUUUUAUGUCUUCCUCAUCACAGGUUCGUAGAAAGCUUAUUUUCCACACACUAAUAGAUCACACAUCUUAGAGAGCAAUUUUUAUUGCUUGCACCGAUGCCAACUUACUUGAGGGAUCUUAUUCAAUCCAUAGGUAGGUAUGGUGGACUCUCAUGGAAAAACUGGGUUGAAGGUUUAUGGAUGCACAAGUAGUAUCUCUACUUAGUGCGGGAGGUUUGGCUAAUGUGAGGUGGAAGCAAUCGUCACAUGCUAAGGGAUCUCUAAUCAUAUAACAUUGUUCGGAGCCAAGCAAACACAAUUCAUUAUGUUGUCUUCCUUGUCCAACAUCUACUUCUAGGCAUGCAAUAGUUUAGUGAGUGUUCACAAUCAUAGAUGGUGUCAGAGAUGAUAUAUUUAUAUGUGAACCUCUCCUUCUUUAUCACUUCCUAUUAAUUGCAACCAUGACCAAGGUCUACGUUUUCCUACCCUCAACAAGUUUCAAUCCUCAUUCUUUUUAUAUGUGAAGCCAUCACUUCCCAUAAGAUCAUUACAUGAUCUUUCAUCCUUUUGUUCUAUUCUCACUCUUUUGAUCAUGGCAAGAGGCAAAGCCCUUCAACUAAGACACUCUUUAUUAUAUGGCUCACGAGCUCGAAUACAUCGGGGGUGACACAAAGCAAAACUCAAGACUAAAACACUAGGACUUUUAAUCUACUAGAAAAAGAGAAAACUAAAAAGGAAAACUAAAACAAAGGUAAAGGCAAAAGAUGUGAUGGUGAUACGAUACCGGGGCAACUCCCCCAAGCUUGGCACAAGCCAAGGGGAUUGCCCAUACCAAUGCUCAGUUGUCUUCCUUUGGUGGUGGAGGUGGAGGAGUUGUUGCAAUCUUUGACUCCAAGAGGGCCAUUAAUCUUUGAUUUAUACCUUGGAGAUCUGUGAUAUGUUUUUCCAGCAAAACAACAUCACGAGUGAGACAAGUAUUGCGAGCACGAGUUGUUUCACAAAACCUCAAGAGUUCAAUCAAAGAUGGAGACAGUAGGUGCAGGUAGGGUUGGAGGAAAUCGACUUCUUCAACAUCUUCCUUGUUGAGCAUAGAUUGCACUUCGUCCCAUGCCUGAUCCUUCUCCUUAGCCUUGCCCUUGGUUUCUUUAGGUAGCCUUUCCUUAGCCUCCAUGACAUCCAUCCUUUUCAGAUCAGCAUGAACUACUCCAUAGAUUUGAUGGAGAUUGUUCUACCCCACAGAUUCGUGGGACGACAUCUUGCUCUAAAUCUGCGGCAGAAAACAGGCUCGAAACAAAAAACAGAAGAAAUCUGCGUGAUGCAGGGGUCAGACCAAACGGGAGUAUAUAUAAUGAUUUUUUCCAGACCAGAAGGAGUACCCUGCACGAAAACAGAGUUCGGGAGGCGCACGAGGUGGCCACAGGCCCUCACGGGCGGCCAGGGGAUGGUCCCGCGCCAUGGAGGCUUGUUGCCUCCUCGCACACUUUCCAGACUGCUUCCAAAUUUUGUAUUUUUUCAAAUAUUCCAAAACAGAGAAAAUUUCCUACUGGAAAAGUUUUGGACUGUGUUUUCUUACCGAAUCACAUACCUCUUCGUUUUCGGAGUCUGAAACAGGCUGAUAAAUAUCCCUUAGGUAUUCUUCCGGAGUUAUGGUAUUGAUAAUAUUGCUUUCAACAUUUAUGGGAGUACCUGAGAUAUAAUGCUUGAUUCUCUGCCCAUUUACCACUCUCGGACAAUUACCUUCUGUGUUGUUGAUCUUGAUAGCACCGGAACGAUAUACUUCCUCAACAACAUAGGGACCUUCCCAUUUAGAGAGAAUCUUGCCUGCAAAGAAUCUUAAACGAGAGUUAUAUAGCAAUACAUAAUCACCUACAUUGAACUCACGCUUUUGUAUCCUCUUAUCAUGCCACCUCUUAACCUUCUCUUUGAACAGCUUGGCAUUCUCAUAUGCCUAAGUUCUCCACUCAUCAAGCGAGCUAAUGUCAAAUAACCUCUUCUCACCGGCAAGUUUGAAAUCAAAGUUGAGCUCUUUGAUUGCCCAAUAAGCUUUAUGCUCUAUCUCAAGAGGUAGAUGACAUGCUUUACCGUACACCAUUUUGUACGGAGACAUGCCCAUGGGAUUCUUAUAGGCAGUUCUAUAAGCCCACAGUGCAUCAUCGAGCUUCUUAGACCAAUUCUUUCUAGACCUGUGGACAGUCUUUUGUAGAAUUAGUUUAAUCUCUCUAUUACUUAGCUCUACUUGACCACUGGACUGAGGGUGAUAGGGAGACGCAAUUCUAUGGUUGACAUCGUACUUAGCAAGCGUUUUACGGAAAGCACCAUGAAUGAAGUCUGAACCACCGUCGGUCAUUAGAUAUCUAGGGACUCCAAAUCUAGGGAAGAUAACUUCUUUCAGCAUCCUGUUAGAGGUGUUGUGAUCAGCACUACUAGUGGGGAUAGCUUCUACCCACUUAGUGACGUAAUCAACAGCAACUAGGAUAUGAGUAUACCCGUUGGAUUUUGGAAAAGGUCCCAUAUAAUCAAAGCCCCAGACAUCAAAUGGUUCAAUGACAAGUGAAUAGUUCAUAGGAAUUUCCUGACGUUUGCUAAUAUUACCUAUUCUUUGACAUUCGUUACAAGACAAGACAAACUUACACGCAUCCUUGAAGAGAGUGGGCUAAUAGAAACCUGAUUGCAAUACCUUGUGUGCAGUUCUAUCUCCCGCAUGGUGUCCUCCGUAGGCCUCAUAGCGACACUUUUGUAGGAUUUGUCCCUGUUCAUGUUGAGGUACACAACGUCUAAUAAGACCUUCUAGUCCUUCCUUAUAAAAGGUUAGGGUCAUCCCAAAAGUAAUGUCUCAAGUCAAAGAAGAAUUUCUUCUUUUGCUGGUACGUGAAACUAGGUGGUAUAUAUUUGGCAACGAUAUAGUUUGCAUAAUCAGCAUACCACGGUGCACUACGUGAAGCAUUGAUGACACUCAAUUGCUCAUCGGGAAAGCUAUCAUCAAUAGAUUGUGGGUCAUCAUGAACGUUCUCCAACCUAGACAAGUUAUCUGCUACAGGGUUAUCAACACCCUUCUGUUGACAACAUGCAAAUCAAAUUCUUGUAGCAAGAGAACCCAUCUGAUAAGUCUAGGUUUAGUGUCUUUCUUCUCCAUGAGGUACUUAAUAGCAGCAUGAUCAAUGUGAAUAGUGACUUUGGAAUCAAAUAUAUAAGGCCUGAACUUUUCACAUGUAAACACGACUGCUAAAAACUCCUUCUCCGUAGUAGCAUAGUUUCUCUGGGAACUGUCUAGAGUUUUACUAGCGUAGUGAAUAACAUUCAACUUCUUGUCAACUCUCUGCCCUAGAACAGCACCAACAACAUAAUCACUAGCGUCACACAUGAUCUCAAAAGGUAAGUUCCAAUCAGGUGGUUCAAUAAUAGGUGCAGUUAUCAGAGCACUCUUAAGUAUUUUGAAGGCUUCCUCACAAUCAUCUUCAAAAACAAAAGGAAUAUCCUUUUGCAAGAGAUUGGUAAGAGGCCUAUAAAUCUUAGAGAAGUCUUUAAUGAACCUUCUAUAGAAACCAGCAUGACCAAGGAAACUUCUUAUACCUUUGAUAUCUAUGGGGUAUGGCAUUUUCUCGAUUGCAUCAAUCUUAGCCUUAUCGACUUCAAUACCUCUUUCAGAAAUUUUAUGUCCUAAGACAAUGCCUUCAUUAACCAUAAAGUGGCACUUCUCCCAAAUCAAGACAAGAUUGGUGACUUUACAUCUCUGCAAGACUCAAUCAAGGUUGCUGAGGCAAUCAUCAAAGGAAGACCCGCAAACGGAGAAGUAAUCCAUGAAAACCUCAACAAUCUUUUCACAAAAGUCAGAGAAUACAGCCAUCAUACAUCUUUGAAAGGUGGCAGGUGCAUUACAUAAGCCAAAAGGCAUACGUCUAUAAGCAAAGGUACCGAAAGGGCAGGUGAAAGUGGUUUUCUCCUGAUCACAUUGUGCAACUGGUAUUUGGGAGAAACCAGAAUAACCGUCUAGAAAGCAAAAGUGUGUGUGUUUAGACAGUCUUUCUAGCAUUUGGUCGAUAAAAGGCAAAGGGUAAUUAUCUUUCCUAGUGGCUUUAUUCAAUUUCCUAAAAUUGAUCACCAUCCUAUAGCGAGUAAUAAUCCUAUGUGGGAUCAAUUCAUCCUUAUCAUUAGGGACAACGGUAAUACCUCCCUUCUUAGGGACGCAAUGCACCGGACUCACCUAAUCGCUAUGAUCAACAGGAUAGAUAAUACCCGCUUCCAGGAGCUUUAGUAUUUCUUUUCUUACUACUUCUUUCAUCUUAGGAUUCAAUCUGCUUUGAUGAUCAACAACUGGUUUGAAAUCAGGAUCGGUUUUAAUCUUGUGCUAGCAUAGAGUAGGACUAAUGCCCUUAAGAUCAUCAAGAGUAUAUCCAAUAGCAGCACGGUGCUUUCUCAGAGUUUUUAGUAACUUCUUUUCUUCAUGCUCUGAGAGGCUAGCACUAAUAAUAACAGGAUAUAUCUCCUUUUCAUCAAUAUAGGCAUACUUAAGAGUAUCAGGCAACUAUUUAAGCUCUAACACAGGAUCACCCUUUGGUGGGGGUGGAUCCCCAAGCAGUUCAACAGGCAGAUUAUUCUUAAGGAUAUGAUAUUGUUCUAAGACAACUCUAUCUAUCUCAUCCCUUUCAUCCAUAUGCAUAUCAUUUUCAUGCUCAAGCAAGUAUUGCUCUAAGGGAUCAGUAGGAGGCACGGCAAUAGAAGCUAAGGCAUUAGUUUCAUCCUUACUAGGCAACUCCUUUUCAUGAGGUUGUCUACCAGCCUUAGAGAAAAUGAACUCAUGUGACACACCUUCAAAGCCAACAGUGAUAGUUUGCUUCUCACAGUCAAUAUGAGCAUUGACAGCAUUGAGAAAAGGUCUACCAAAUAUGAUGGGACAAGAGCUAUCUUGUGCGGUAGCAAGAACGAGGAAAUCAGCAGGAUACUUCGUUUUACCAGACAAGACUUCAACAUCCCUAACAAUUUCCACAGGGCAGAUAGUAUCUCUAUUGGCAAGCUGAAUAGUGACAUCAAUAGGCUCUAUCUCAAUAGGUGCAAUCUCGUCUUUGAUUUAGUCAUACAAGGAUUGAGGUAUUGCACUAACACUAGCGCCCACGUCACAUAAGCCAUGAUAAGAAUGAUCUCCUAUCUUAACAGAAAGCACACGCAUUCCAACAACAGGCCUAUGUUUGUCUCUAACGUGAGGUUUAGCAAUUCUAGGAGCAUCUUCACAGAAGUGAAUAUUAUGUCCCUCAACAUCGUCGGACAGAAGAUCUUUGAUAAUAGGGUGUAGGUGUUCUAAUAUAGCCUCUACGUAUCACAGUUGAAGCUUUAGAAUGAUCCUUUAUCCUAACAGGGAAAGGUGGUUUCUCAAUGUAAGCACUCGAAACCAUAGGAUCAUUAUAGGAAAUGAUUUUCUCUUCAACUUGAGUGGGUUUGACUACAUUGACUUCUAAUGGAGGAUGAUAUUUAAACCACUUCUCUUUGGGGAGAUCGAUAUGAGAAGAAAAUGAUUCACACAAUGAAGCUACUAUCUCAGAGUCAAGUCCAUACUUAGCGCUAAAAUCACUAAAGGUAUUUGUCUCAACAAAGGAUUUAACGCAAUGAAACAUGAAAUUCAUUCCUGACUCCUUACCUUCUUCAAGCUCCCAAUCUUCAGAGUUACGUUUAAUUCUCUCCAAUAAAUUCCAUUUGAAGUCAAUAUCUCUCUUCAUAAAACAACCGGUACAAGAAGUGUCAAGCAUGGUGCGAUCAUCAUGAGAAAGCCGAGCAUAGAAGUUCUGAAUGAUAAUUUCUCUCGAGAGCUCAUGAUUGGGGCAUGAAUAUAGCAUUGAUUUAAGCUUCCCCCAAGCUUGAGGGAUGCUUUCUCUGUCACGAGGCCAAAAAUUAUAAAUAUAAUUCCGAUCACGAUGUACAAAAUGCAUAGGAUAAAACUUUUGAUGAAAUUACAAUUUCAACCGAUUGUAGUCCCAUGAUACAGUGUCAUCACAUAGCCUAUACCAUGUCAACGCCUUAUCCUUAAAAGAUAAAGGAAAGACCUUCUUCUGGACCUCAUCCUCGGAAAACCUGCAAGCUUAAAUAAACCACAAACUUCAUCUACAUAGAUUAGAUGCAAGUCUGGAUAUGAUGUUCCAUCUCGUGUAAAAGGAUUAGCCAGCAGUUUCUCAAGCAUACCCGAAGGAAAUUCAAAGCAAAUAUUUUUAGUAGGUGCAGCAGGUUGAGGAGAAACUAUUUGUGCUUCCGUUCGAGGUGAAGAUACCCCGAACCAGCCCCUCAAAGCAUUAGUAUCCAUAGUGACAAGUGACAAUAAAUUUCAGCACACUAUAGGAAUGUUUCCUUACCAAGUUCCACUUACCAAAGGCGCUUCACUCCCUGGCAACGGUGCCAGAAAAGAGUCUUGAUGACCCACAAGUAUAGGGGAUCAAUCGUAGUCCUUUCGAUAAGUAAGAGUGUCAAACCCAAUGAGGAGCAGAAGGAUCUGACAAGUGGUUUUCAGCAAGGUAAAAUCUGCAGGCACUGAAAUUGUCAGUAACAAGUGAUUGUGUAGUGAGAUGAUUCGUAGCAAGCAACAAGUAACAAAAGUAGCAACGGUGCAGAAAAGUGGACCAAUCCCUUUUGUAGCAAGGGACAAGCCUGGACAAAGUCUUAUAGGAGGAAAAAUGCUCACGAGGACACACGGGAAUUUCUGUUAUGCUAGUUUUCAUCAUGUUCAUAUGAUUCGCGUUCGUUACUUUGAUAGUUUGAUAUCUGGGUGGACCAGCGCUUGGGUACUGCCCUUACUUGGACAAGAAUCCAACUUAUGAUUAACCCCUCUCGCAAGCAUCCGCAACUACGAAAUAAGAAUUAAGACAAAGUCUAACCAUAACAUUAAACUAGUGGAUCCAAAUCAGCCCCUUACGAAGCAACGCAUAAACUAGGGUUUAAACUUCUAUCAAUCUAGCAACCCAUCAUCUACUCACUACUUCCCAAUGGCUUCCUCUAGGCCCAAAUAAUGGUGAAGUGUUAUGUAGUCGACGUUCACAUAACACCACUAGAGGAAAAACAACAUACAACAUAUCAAAUUACCGAACGAAUACCAAAUUCACAUGACUACUAUUAGCAUGACUUAUCCCAUGUCCUCNCAUUAAACUAGUGGAUCCAAAUCAGCCCCUUACGAAGCAACGCAUAAACUAGGGUUUAAACUUCUAUCAAUCUAGCAACCCAUCAUCUACUCACUACUUCCCAAUGGCUUCCUCUAGGCCCAAAUAAUGGUGAAGUGUUAUGUAGUCGACGUUCACAUAACACCACUAGAGGAAAAACAACAUACAACAUAUCAAAUUACCGAACGAAUACCAAAUUCACAUGACUACUAUUAGCAUGACUUAUCCCAUGUCCUCAGGAACCAAAGUAACUACUCACAAAGCAUAAUCAUAUUCAUGACCAGAGAGGUAAUGAGUAGCAUCAAGGAUCUGAACAGAAACUCUUCCACCAAAUAAUCCAACUAGCAUCAACUAUAAAGAGUAAUCAACACUACUAGCAACCUUACAAGUACCAAUCGGAGUCGCGAGAUGGAGAUUGGUUACAAGUGAUGAACUAGGGUUUGGAGAUGACAUGGUGUUGAUGAAGAAGUUGAUGGUGAUGAGUCCCCUCUGAUGAGAGGAGUGUUGGUGAUGACGAUGGCGACGAUUUCCCCCUAUGGGAGGGAAGUUUCCCCGGCAGGAUCGUCCUGCGAGAGCUCUAGAUUGGUUCUGCUCAAGUUCCGCCUCGUGGCGGCGACGAAUCCACGAAAAAGCUCCUCCUGAUUUUUUUUUGGACGAAACUCUUCAUAUUGUAGAAGAGGGGGGCCAGUGGGCCAGCAGGCUGCCCACAAGCCCUCAUGGCGCGGCCUGGGGGUGGUCGCGCCGUGCAGGCUUGUGGCCACCUGCACGCGCCCCUCUCGCACUUCUUUGGCCCAGUAUUUUUUAUAAAUCAGGAAAAAAAUCCUUGUUGAUUUUUACGGCGUUUGGAGUUCCGCAGAAUAGGUAUCUCAAACUUGCUCCACUUUCAGGCCAGAAUUCCAGCUGCCGGCAUUCUCCCUCUUGCAAAAUAAGAGAGAAAAGGCAUAAGAAUUGUACCCUGAAGUGAAAUAACAGCCCAAGAAGCCAUAAAUAUCAACGUGAAAACAUGAUGCAAAAUGGAUGUAUCACAUUCCAGAGUGCAGACUAUGCCCAUCAAUAAGCCGACAUAAAAUCCUACCACCACCACUCAGUUUUGGACGGCAAGGGGCACCGCGACAUGUUCAGAAGGGGCAAAAGAGGCAUCUUUUGGCAUCUGGCCUUGUGAGCUAGAGAUACGGAGCAGGGAACAUAUAUUUUUAGGGAGGGGGAUGGGAGAGGGGGUGGACUCACUAAUGAUGGCCUGGCGGUACACCUGCACCACGGCCCUACCGACGACGGCUUCGCCCAUGACGAGGAGUUGCCCGAGGAGCCGUCCGGCCUGCCGAACCAUCGAGCCAGAUCAUCAGCCACACGAUUCACAAAGCCCAAGCAUGGAUUAAAUAAGAUCGAGAGGCAGGCGCACGUACCAUAUCUCUCUGUUCCUCCCCUCCCCUCCCCGGCGGCGGGCGGGCGCGGUUCUCACAGGAGACGCGGAGCCCGUGAGGGAGCACGGGACGGGGGCAUGGGUGGUGAGGCUGUUGGGUGAACGGAGGGACUCGCUCCCCCGCGUAGCACCUUCCGGGCCUCCACCGUGAGGCUGGCCACGGUCGUCGCGGCUGCGGCCUCCCUAGGAAUGGGAGGAUGUGGGCGGGCCAUGGCGGGCGGCUCGAGGCCAUCGAGGUGGGGAGAGGGGGGAAGGAGGACAGGGAGGCAGGUCGGGCAAGCGAUUGGGGAGGGGAGAGGGUGGGAGCGGCGGCCAUGACCGACGACGACGGCGACGAGGUAUGAGGAAGCGAGGCGGGCGGUGGGUGGCGGCGCCGAUGUGGGGAAGGGAUUGGAUCAGGAAGCUAGAGAGGAAUGAGCUCGGGAGGAAGGGAGGAAGGAGAAGAGAGGAAGAAAGGAGGCGGGGGUGGAUGAAAAAUGUGAGGAGGACAAAGCUAGGGUUUCAUCUACAGAGUAGAGGGCUGUCGUUGGAUCCGGGAUCAUACAACGGUCCUUGAUGCAUGAUUCGUGUGAGAUCCUCAUGGACCAAUGAGAACGGAGUAAACACUAUGAAUACGUUAUGACCAUCUAAAUUGGUCGUAAUUAACUAAAAAUAAGUUUUUUUCAUAAGAAAAACAUUUUCUAUUUUCGAGUGACAAAGAUGGUUUUUUGUGAAGGACCUUGUUGACACCUGAUUUUGGCAUGGAAGAAACAUAUUAUUAAGAUGGAUUCAAAUGAAAAAGGUUUUAUUUUUUUUGGACCAAAAAUUCAUUUUCCAUUUUCCGAUUGCUCAAAAUGAGUUUUUUGUGAAGGACCUACCAUAUAUUUGCUGCAAAAUUGGACAAAAUCAUUUUUAUAAAAUACUAGGUCAUAUUUAAUGUGCAAUUGAUCAAAUGGUUGGGUGUCAAAACCUUUCAUCCACCUCACGUGAAAAAGACAUUUUUUUGCCAAUUCUACUCGAAGCGGGUCAAAUUUGAACUGCAGCUACACUAUAGUUUGCUCUUUAUUUUUUCCAAAAAUCAUUUCUAGGUGCACAAGUAUCUAUUUAAUCAAAGAAACACCAAAAUAUUUCCAAGAUUCAACCACUAGGUAGGAACGGUCAUACCCAUUGUUUUGACCGCAUUUUGAAAUGGCCAUGAAAAAUUAAAAAAAAAUCAAAAAAUGGAAAACCUUUGCAUUGUGUCAUUAUAUGUGACAAAGUUAUCAGGAAUAAUAAAGUUGUAAUACAACAAUUAUUUUAAAAAAGUGUUCUUAGAAAUGGGCUAUCAUAUGUGAAAAUUCAUGGCUUUCAAGCCAAAUGAUCAAUCUUAUGGCCACAUUCAUGACAUAGUUUGUUGAAAUGAUAUAAUAUUAUGUACAAGGGUGCAUAUUGUAAUGGAAAACAAUGUUGAUUAAGGAAGUUUUCAUUUUCCUUGUAUGUAAAAAUCAUUUUCUAUUUUUCAAGUGCCCAAAAUAAAAAGAAAUCGUGAAGGACCUACCAUAUAUUUGUUUCAAAAUUGGACCAAAUCAUUUUUCUAAAAUACUAGGCCAUAUUUAAUGUACAAUUGACAAAAUGGUUGAGUGUUAAAAGCUUUUAUCCACCUGUCGUGAAAAAGACAAAUUUAUGUCGAUUCAGUUGAAAGCAGGUUAAAUUUGCACUGCGCCUGCAUUAUAGUUUACUCUUUAUUUUUCCCAAAAUUAAUUUAUAGGUACAUAAGUAUCUAUUUAAUUAGAAAUACAUGGUGUGGUGGCUUGACGUCAAGGUUUGGAUGGUGGUCGAGGGCCCUAACUCCAGAGCGCGUGAACUGGCAUGCCAGCCGCAUGGUCACCGCCUGACCGUUGCGUUGCCACGCUAUGUUGAUGGAAUAGGCAUGUCUGGUGGGUUGGACAAUCCCUCAAUGUGUGUUAGGUAGAAGAAUACAAUAAAAGAAUCUCACGAGGAGACUGAAGUAAGUUCAAACAUGAAUUAGUAGCCAAGUGUUUGAUUAGCGGUGCGGGUAAUGCACAUAGACAAUGGGCCUAAAUUUUGGCUGAGGAUGAUCAUCUAUUAAGGAGACUCCCUUGGCAAUUUUUAGCUCAAAUGGAUGAACCUAGGUGGUACUUGCUUUGCAAAGUAACACAUUGUGCACAAAUAAAAUAUGGAUAUUAAAGCUGGGAUCAAAUGAUUGAAUGGAUUGAGCUGAAAUUUGGUCUAUGAUGUUAAUUUGGGCAUAUGAAGGCAGUGUAAAAAAAUUAUACCAUUUGGACAUACCAAAGGGACACUUCCUUCAUAAUGUGCAAUUCUGGACAGAAAAUGGUAAUUGAAACUAGGCUCACAUAGAUGAUUGGACUGAGCUGAAAUUUAGAGGAGGAUGAUAAUUGGGGCACAUUAAGGAACUAUAAAAAUUUCAUAAAUUUGUAUAAACAAAAAUUGUACUUCCUUCACAAUGCUCUCUACUGAACAGAAUAUUAGGGAAAAUAUUAGGGAAACUGGCUGAAUUAAAUGAGCUAAAGUUUGGUGGACUGAGCUUAUAUGGUCAAUUUAAUUCCUUGCUAAAUUUUCAUCAACUAUAAAGCAAUACAAAAUGUAGUUGCUUCAAAACUGGGACUGAAAAUAUUGCCAGAAACAAAGAUUGGAUGAUGAGCUCACAUGGAUUGUUAGAUGGGGCUAAAAUUCUAUGGAGAUCUAUGGUUUUGGCACAUAGAAUAUGUGGAAAAAUUCAACUCAUCAUGAUGUUCCUAUAUAGUACUUCCUUCACAAAGAUGUUAGCUGAACACAAACUUUGAAAAUUUGCUGAGAAAUAUUUACUAGGAAAAUGGUUACGAAAGUUUUCAUGAGGCAAUGAUUUGGAUAGGAAAGAGUGCCCAAAAAAUUUGAGCGUAAACAAAGAAACAGAAAUAGCACUUCCUUCACAAAGUGCUAUUCUGAACUAAAUAGGAAAAUGAAUAUUGCUCAAUUAUUUUCGAACUGUGGAAGGAAGGGUUUUCGAACUUUGACACGUUAUCACCACGCUCUACCGAGUACCAAGAGUAAUACACGCUCUCCGGCAUGGUCGACGUCGUCGGCCUCAAGCCCUCAACGCCGCUCCUGCCAUCAUGGCUCCUCGAGGCUAGAGGCUCUCGGCCUUCCCACAUGGAAGGGCGCAGAAACCGCAUUCGCGCACCGUCGACGCUGAACGCAGCGACCAUGUCGUCCAAGCGGCGCUGGCACGCGAUACAUGCUCCUGUGUACAGGGGAAAUCGAUCAAAGAAGACAAACCUGAUCUAGUUCUUUCUUUGAUUCAUUCUGUACCAAACUAUCUAAUUACCGACUGAUUUUUUCAUGCACAUGGGCGAGAGUCACUUCAUCGAAUCUGACACAUACGCAAAGAGGAAAUCAUAUUGAUUCUCACCGGUAACUUCCUUGGAUGAUGCCUUUGCACGCUCAAGCUUCUACGACGGAGUGCUCGCCUUCGACCGUAGGCGCGAUCUAGCACCAUGCACAGCCAGGGACGAUGGUGCUCCCCACCUCACAGCAGAGGCAGCACCCUCUACCACGCAGCCAGCCAUGGCGCUCGACCUAGACCGCGGCGCAUCAGCGUCCUCCGGUGUGACUUCCCAGCAGUGGAGGCGACCCCCGCACUGAAGCGCGCCCACGUGCGCCCACGGACGUCGGCCCCGGUGCAUCGGGACAGCUUCAAGCCCACGAGGCAUCUGUCUGGCCUCGCCGCCACUUCUACCUACGCCUCUCCCUCCGGCGUGAUUGCUCGAAGCGUCCUCAUGUACGGCAGCGGAUGCGGCUCAUGGCUGCCCGCGGCCACACCCUGCGGCGGAGGCGGCGGUGGGCCNUAUUUUCCCCCAUUGGAACCGCACGCGAGGAGAACCUUAUCUCUUGCCCAUUUUGCAUUUACAUCAGUGUAUUUGCAAGGAUUACCAAAACAAUCCUAAACACUCGUCCAGACUAGUCUGCCAUAAUACCUUUUUUUAUGGGAUUUUGCAAAUUGGUUCUGUUAGCCUACUAGUAUUUACUAGCAUUCACAUAUUUUAGACCGUGUGAUAUCCGAUAUUUGUCUAAAGUACUGUGUUUCUGUUGAGUACCAAUGUAUUUCAUAUCCUAAGUUGAUGUGAUAUAUUUCCAUAUUUAUCACGUGUUGAGAUUAAUUAUGUCCAUUUGCAAUAAAGAUGUUUAAUAUCUUGCAACGAUAAAUCGAGUACCUCUACAAUACUGUUUUCUCCAUUGAGUACGAUGUAUUCCGGAAUGUAUGUAUCUCCAUGUCCGCUACAUGUCGAGAUUAAUACGUUUCUUUGCAAUUGGGAUUUUUGUUUUCUUGCAAAUAAAAAUAAAUUCAUUUUAAUUGAUCAUUUGGUUUGAUACAAGCAAGAAUUGAUAUGCAAAAUUCUAAAUGUUGUUUUUCAAAUUGAUAUUUUGGGAUCACAAGGUAGUGUGUAUAUCUACUACACCAUUUCCAGAUUAUUCACCAUUACUGUGAGGUCUACAUCUUGUCAAUUUUACAAGAUGAUUACCUUCAAAGUGCUCUUCCAAAUAUUAAUAUUAGAUGUGACUACCUCAAGAAAUCAUAAGGUAAUAUUGGCAUCUACUGCAAAAUUUUGCAGACUAUCCAUUAUUACUGCAAGGUCUACAUCAUGCCAUUCUGACAGAUGACUACCUUCAUAGUGAUUUUCUUAAAAAUAGAUAACAUAAGGUAAUAGAAUUAUGAACAUCUACUGACAAUAGUCAUACUAUGUUUUCUAUUACUACGAGAUCUACACCAUAUUGGUGAUUAUCUUCAAAGUGUUAUCCUAUAUAAAUUGAGGUCUACACAUAUGUCUAUAAGGCAUCAACUAUACUAGAAUUUGCUCCUUCGAAGCAUUUAUUGUUGUUGUUCUUAAAAUAUUUUACUCUCAUAGUAAAUAUUGUUCUUGCACAUUUUGCUUGAAUAUGUCAUAGGAAACUAUGAAAAUAUUUGCAUAUACAUGUGAUUACCUUCUAUUACAUUCGUAAAAUGUAUGGCAAUGGAGCCUACGUCACUAUUUCUAAUUAUAGUGGAUGGAUACCAUAAUUUAUAAAGAGUGUCUCAAACACUAUUGCAAGAUUCACAUCACAUUGUGGUUGUUAUUUUCAUGGUGACUAAGCAAUGUUAAAAUUGCAAAGUCUACGUUUUGGUCAUGACUAUAAAGUCACACUUUUUCUCACGAAUGAAACCCAAAACAUUAGCAACGAUUUCAUCGCAUGGACUAUAUUGAAGGUUUACACCCCAUGUUCACCAAGCAUCACCUUGGCAGAUUUUGCUCAACAAGAUCAUUUCAUCAAUAUAUUUUAUUUUACUCCAAGAAGUAAAUAAAUAAUGCAUGAUCAUUUAAUGUAACACAUGGCUAUUCUAUUGAUGCACAUAUGCAUUUUAUAUGUCACCAACUUCACUUGGUUCUGAAACUAAGUAUACAAUGGAUGAAUAUAAAUUCACCUUGAAUAUUCUCUCAAUAGAAACAUGCUUCCAUGAGAACAUCGCGAAUGAUCUCCCAUUUUUUAAAGACAUCAAGUCUUAUCGCGGCUCACAAUUCUGUCACGUUAAUCAACUUCAAGCUGAGAUCUCAUGAUCAAAAUCUUCAUAUGCAGAUCCGAUUGAAAACUCAUUAAUACACUUUACAUCCUAUAAUGAUGGUACUACCAUUUUCCAUGAUGAAGGAACAUGGAAUUUCUUAAAAUCAUCAGACUCACCCCACAGGUGUUAUACCAUCAUUUGAAAAUCUUGUUGGUAGUGAAUACCAAGUCAGUGGCGAAGAAAUAUGGCCAUGAGGACUUCAAAGUAAAGUGGUGGCUAAAAGACAACCAAAGACAGAAUUACCUCUUAAUAGGGAAUAUAUCAUUUUCAAAUGAUCACAAAGACAACUCUCAAAUUUGUCAAAUGUGUGGUUAUAUAAAUAUCGUACAUAUGACUACCAAACCGUCAAACAUAUGGUGAAACCACAUCACAAAUUUAUUCAAAAGGCUGAUAAAUUCAAUGGGAUAAAUCUGAAAAUUCACAAAUAACAACCAAAAUAUUUUGGUAGAUGCUUGUUUUCAGAAUCUUCAUCAGAAGGAGAACUAAAGUUUAGUGCGGUAAAUGGAGGAUGAAAUCAUUUGCUCUCAAUAAUGUCGGAGACCUCACGUAAUCUCCUAAUUCUCCAACAUAUUAUUAGCCUAUACUUGUACUACUGCAUGUAGUACAAUGUCCAAUAUCCUAUUUCUUGGACAUUAUAUUUGAUAAAUUUUGAAUGUAUGAAUCAAUUCAUACUCAGUUUUCUUGCGUAAAAAAGAAUUUUCUAAAUCUUACAAAAUAUUUGGCAUUAAGCCUUACAAUCCUGGUUUGGGGUUGAUUACAAAAUUAUUGACAAUUCUAUUGGUCACAACUUAAGAAGUUGCAAAAAUUCCCAAAUCAUCAGAUUUUAUGUGCACCACAUGUGCCACAGGGGAAAUUAAUUUCAGAAACUCUCACCUUACAAUUCUAAAUGAGCCAAUUCAUUCUUCCUUGAACAAAUUAAGAAGAUAUAUGUGGAUUACUUAACCAUUAUGUGGGAUUAUUAACAUACUUCAUGGUACUCAUAGAAACAUUUAUAAAAUGAUUUCAAGUGUGUCUCUUGUCGCACACAACCAUGAAUGAUCUUACUAAAUCAAUUGCUCAACUUCUCAAAGUAAGAGCAAAUUAUCCUAAACAAGGGAUAAAUCCAUUCGAAUGGACAACUUUGUUGAACUCAUUUCUCAAGAAAUAUAUGAUUAUAUAUAAUACUUUAUGUACAUAUCCAAAAUAGUUUAGUUCAAUAUCUUAUCAAAGAUAGUGAAAUUAAUAAUAUGACCAAACUUAUAGAAUCGUAAUUUACUAGCCUCAUGUUAGACAAAUACGGCAUUACACACCAUAAGUAUGAUAUAAAUCAUACCAACUGCAUAGCAUACUACUUUCCCCCUGUAGUAAUUAUGUGGAAAUCAACAAAGUAUUUCCUAUCUGCAAUAAUUCGAUUACACACCGAUAUGACGACUCCGGCAUACAUAAAUGGGCUCUUACAGAAAAUUAGGGAUCUAUGUGAGGAAUGACAAUUUAUCUGUCAAUCGAAAUUAUCCAUAGCCCAUAUGCUCAUUGCAUCAACAGUAAGGACAUUUCUGGCAUUAGGGGGAGAUAAGUACCACAAAGAAUGCCAAGAAAUAAAUUAGAAAUGUUAUUCACAUUCAGUCCAUAUAUCCACGUACUCAAAGAAUCUGAACUAGAAGUUUAGAAUCACAUAUUUGCAACACAUUGCAAAUCCGCCACAUACAUUUACUAAUGACAAAGGUGUCACUCAAUUUUAUAUUUCUGUAGUAAAGUGUCAGAAAGAGUGGAGGUACCUCAUAAACCACUCUUCUCCCGAAAUGAGAGCAAGAGGGGGAGAAAUCUGACCACACGAGAUAUAUUCUCACAUAUGCUUCCACGGAAAUAGAGGUAAUCAAAUCCUCAACUAGUAAAUGUAAUUCAACAUCAAGUUGAAAGACACCUCACUGGAUGCUCAUCAUCCAAAGCCCGACAUAAAUGUGCACAAAUAUUUUGGUGUCGGGACAUCGAAACACCUUGACUCCAUUGUUGUAGGAAAUCACAAGGAGUUAAAAGGAAUAAAUACAUUUCCACAAAUUUCAUCGAUUCCUCCAGAAUCAUAUAACAUAAGUCUAUAUUUCUUCUCUAAAUUGCUAAAACCUUUUGGGCCCCGAACCAAAAUCCAUGGUAGAGUGCCUCUUGUACUCAUAUUGGUUCACAUAAAAGGAAUCAAGUAAUGAAGAAUAGCACUCGCUCAUCAAAGAGUGGUAUUUACCACAGUAAUACCUACUCCUCAUAAGUAUCUUCCAUAUGGAAUACUAAAAACUUCUCAUUCAUAGACAAAGUCAAUGAGGUGGUGAACAAGCGAAGCUUGUAGCAAAAGGGUUCACAGAGAGACCCGACAUCGAUUACGAUGUAACAUACCUUCUUGGUAGGAGUGGAACUAUGUUUCGAUAAUAAAUACCAUUGGCAGUACAAAUAAUAUUAUCCAUGCAGUGAUGGAUGAAGUGGCUACACAGUCAUAUGAGUCACUCAUUUCGGAAAUCUAUAUUAAAGUCCGUGAAAGGCAUACAUUUCUGAAUCCAAAAACAAAUCGCAACAUGUAUUGUGUAAAACUUCAAAAGUCACUCUAUGACUAGAAAUAGUUGUGAAUCAUAUGGUACUACCGAAACAAAAGGUAUAUGGUCGAUAUAAGUACUAUCAUCUUAUAUCUGAAGAUUAUAGUAAAUCUUGAAUAUUUCCAUCAGGAAAUAGAAGAUAUGACCAUGAUAUGAUGUAAUGAUAUUGGCUCUUUAUUUGAUCCCAAUAACGCCAUAUCAAUGACUGAAUUUGCUGGAAUAGCCUUCACAUGGAAGUCAUAUAAAUGGAUUUUAAUGGUUAUUUCCAGUUAUCGUUCUAACAUAAUUGUUUUACCUAAAGGCAUUGCAAAAUAUGCAUAACUUAGUAGAAUGGUUAACCACACUUAAAAUCAUGUGGUUGAGAUUCAUCAAAAUCACAUAACUUGAUUUAUCAAGAUACUUACACUUGUGUUACUCAAUACCUAUAGGUUAUAUGAAGAGCAAUAUCAUAAAUCACAUUGCUCGGAAAUUACUUAACCUCGCGGAUUAUAGAAAAGUAAGGAAAUAAUUUGCAAACAAAAUAUUGUUAUAAUCCAACAAAUUAUACACAGUCUCAUGUUCAUGUCAAUGGAAUUGGUAUGAGACGUCCUUCACAUUUGCAAACUUCAGGGAGAGUAAACUCCCAAACUAUAACCUAUUAACAAUCAUCAGAUUGCAUAUAUUGUACUCUUUUUCCCUUGAUGAGUUUUUCCCUAAUGGUUUCUCAUAAAGGUUUUUAACGAGACAAUAUAAACACAAGUAUCUAUAUAUGCCAUAUCAUUUUCUUCUUAUAUUUUUGCCACUGGAUUUUAAAGGAGUUUUCAAUGACAUGUACGGUUGCACUCUUUUUCCUUAUGAGUUUUUUUCAAAGUUUCUCAUAACGGUUUUUAAUGAGGCAAUAUCUUCUCAAAGAUCAUAUGUCAUACUUUCUAUUUUCCCUAUCAGGGUUUUUAAAGAAAGUAGUCAAGACAUAUUAAUUGUUCUCUAAACUUAUCGAUGAGUUUUCUCCUUCUUUAAAGGUUUUUCUCAUAUGAGUUAUCAAGAGACAAUAAUCAUCGUAUGUUGCAUCAUUUUCUUCUUAUUUUUCCCACUGGGUUUAAAGGAGUUUUAGCAACAUAUCUACAUAAUUCUCCUCAUAUUUUUCCCGCAGGGUUUUUGUGGGAGUCUCUCAAGAUUAUCUUGAAGAUUUCUUAAGAUGGAAGAUCUAUAUGCAAGAAGCUUUCAACGAUGAAACAUUCAAGGAGCGGUGUUGUACAAGGGGGAGUGUUAAAAACUAAUUAGUAGAUUAAUUAAUUAGCAAAUGGAUGUGUCCAACCCGAAUAGUCGUGUCUCUUCUCUCUCUAUUGCCAACAGGUACCUGUUCUGGAGGGAUGCCUCCGAAGAGACACCUCUUCUUCACACCUCUUCCAGAUAUAUAUACUUGAUAAUCAAUAGAAAUCAGGAUUAAUGGUCCAUUCACUUUCAUUCAAUCUUGUUUUACUUUGACAGUAACCAUCAAGAAUGAGCUAAGCACAUUGCAACAUAUAAGCAACACACAUCAGAAAUUAAACCAAAAAAUCCUCCAAAUUUUCGAAUUUCAGGGAUCACAUCGACCAUUCGUUGCUAUUGCACACACAUGGGAAUAAUUUACAUUUUACAAUGGCAGGCCACCGUGGCGCGUCGGGCAGCCUAAGAUCCAGGCGCAAAUUUGGUGGCGAAAACCCAUGCAUUAUUGGCGACAGGGUCGUCGAGGUGGUCGAACAGGUUCUCCAAUGGGCCCUUGCCGGUGACGAUAGCUUGCACGAAGAACCCGAACAUAGAGAACAUGGCAAGACGGCCAUUCUUGAUCUCCUUCACCUUAAGCUCCGCGAAGGUAACAGGGUCGUCGGCAAGGCCGAGCGGGUCGAAGUACUGGCCGCCGGGGUAGAGGUCGUUGCCCUCGCCGACACCAUCGAGACCGUUGAUGCGGAACCCUUCAACAAGACCCAUGAGAAGGACCUGGAAGCCAAGCACGGCAAGGAUGCUCUGCGCGUGGACAAGGUUGGGGUUCCCAAGGUAAUCGAGACCACCCUCAGAGAAGAUCUGCGAGCCGGCCUUGAACCAGACGGGCUCCUUGAACUCGACGCCCACCCACUUCUGGAGCACCUCGGGGAAGACGCACCCAAGAGCGCCGAGCAUCGCCCACCGGCCGUGGAUCACCUCUAGCGCCCUGUUCCUAGCGAACGCCUCCGGGUCGGCAGAAAGCCCGGCGGUGUCCCAGCCGUAGUCGCCGGGGAACUCGCCGUUAAGGUACGACGGCGUCUGCGCGGAGAAGGGGCCCAGGUACUUGACGCGGUCCGGGCCGUACCACAAGUCGUUGCCC
RNAcentral lists this long non-coding RNA (53102 nucleotides) under Hordeum vulgare. RNAcentral's name for it is "long non-coding RNA (HVUL_LNC003559)". Lineage: Eukaryota; Viridiplantae; Streptophyta; Magnoliopsida; Poales; Poaceae. The record is from RNAcentral.